Molecule: long non-coding RNA, 52859 nt
Filed under: Ananas comosus (pineapple)
Lineage: Eukaryota; Viridiplantae; Streptophyta; Magnoliopsida; Poales; Bromeliaceae
Description: long non-coding RNA (ACOM_LNC028134)
Source: RNAcentral
UAUUUUUAUCUCACGGCCUUUGUUCUUUCACAUUAGGUUCAUUAUCUUAUUCUCACAACCUAUGUUUUCUAACCUUAGGUUUAAUACCAUUCUUGUUUCACCUAUGUUUAGCAACACUAGGUUCAUAUUCAUUCUUGUUUAACCUAAGUUCACGACUCUAGGUUCAUUGCCACUCGAUCUAUAUGUGUUUUAGGUCCAUACACACAUGUCCUUUGACUAGCAUUAUUCCUUGCAAUCACUUAACAUUCUCAUGUUAUGUUCACAUACCAAUGUCCAUACGCACAAGCCUUUUACUUAACAUUCUUUUCUAUAAUGUGCUUAUCAUACCAAUACUUAGCCUUUUUCACAUGCCAUCAUCUUUACUCUUAGCAUUAACCACAUGCUUGCAUUUAUUAUUUCUACAUCAUGCUUAUUGUGUAUACUCUAGCAUUAAUCAAUGCAUUCAUCAUGCUCUGUUCACUUGCAUUCAUCUAGUACACGUGCAUACCUAGUCUUUUACAUGCAUAUACAUCUUAUCACUAGUGUCAUGCAUUACUUAGCAUUUUUACAUAUGCCGUCAUUUACACUUGUAUGCAUCAAUGAAGAUUGUUAACAUCAUUUAGACAUAAGGGCGACCUAGUCGCUUCGGUAAACACAACCCACAUUUAACGCGUUCCGAUUGCUUGUCGACACUUGCAAUCGGCCUCCCGCGGCACUCGGCACCCGCUUGGGCCCGACUAGCACUUGCGCCUCAACCGUGUUCCGCUUUGCAAAUCCGAAAAUUAUAGGUCUUCGGUUAUGCGCCACGAUGCCACACGUCCAUUCCCACGACCUUACGACGCCGUCUCGGCCCUACAGGCAAGAAUGAAGCCUCAAGGCUUAUUUCUUUAAUAACUUUAAAACGGCUCGACGAAUACUCAAACCGUCUUCGCCCACGCGUUUCUUGACCUAACAAUUAGGUUUACGAGUGGUCAAAAUAGAUCAAAACCCCUCAUUAGCAAAAUCCCUCUUUGGGAUGCCCUAAUGUGCCAUAUGCCCAAUACGCCGGUUUUGAUCUAUAAAACAAGCAAAGGAAAGCUUGUUUAUCAUCUAGGAGUUUAUCUAGGAGCAUACGAACCAUUUCUAGGGCAUUUAGAGCAAACCCUAAAAAUCCACCAUUAGAGCUUCAUGAGAAAACCAUAGAUUUCAUGGUGUUCUAAGCCUCUACAAGGUUCUAAAUACCUUAAGAGCUCUAAAUCUCUAAGCUUUAGGGUUUAAAACCCAUCCUACCAAAAUCCACCAUGAGAGGAGCAAGGUGCUUACCUCUCCAAAAGCUUCAAAAUGAGAAGAAGAUGAAGAUGAGGAUGGAGAUGAAGAUCUUCCUCUUCUUUUCCUUUGCUUUCUCUUUUUCUUCUUCUUUUCUUUCUCUCUUUUCCUUUCUUUCUUUCUUCUUCUCCCUUCGGUUGGGCACGAACAGAGGGAGAGGGAGGGGGCUGUGGGAGAGUGAGAGAGAGAGAUAAAAACACUCUCUAAUACCCUCUCACAUGUGUUGUAACAAUAUGCCACUUAGCCCCUCAAGUUUUCAAGUUCUUCCAACUUGACCUGCUGUUUUCGGGCUCUUUGUACCGGUACACGGGGUCUUGUACCGGUACAAGGCCUGGCAGACAGCUCAAACCCGAGAGCUCAUUCUCUCGGUUACGCAGGGCUUGUACCGGUACAAGGCCCCUUGUACCGGUACAAGGUCUGGCAGCUCCAGCCCUGUACCUCGCUGGUUGUACCGGUACAACCAUUGGUCUUGUACCGGUACAAGGCAUCCAGAAAGUCAUUUUUGACUCCGAUUGAGCUCUACUUUGCACCACACGAUGCCAAAACCCUUCCAACUCUUUUAGAGCUUAUUUUUAGCCCUUCCAACAGCGUUGGAAUGUUAAUUGGAACUCGUCUAUUCAUCUUAUUCGCAUGCUUUAGCCAAUUUGGCUAAAGUUCGAUAACUUCUUCCGAGACCUCCGAUUCUUUUCCAAUCGAACCGAGGCUCACCAAACAUGUUUUUGAACACGUCUCCAUUAUCUUUUCACCCAUUCUAAUGCCGAAUUUAGCUCACGGCCCAACAUAACCUUUCGGGUUUCGUUUUCGCACCUAUGCGCACCGAAACGCCCGAAAGCUUCCGAACUUCACCGAACUUCACCGGAACCAUUGGAAUAGCUUUCCAACCUAUCAUACACUAUGUCCUCAUAGUUUUUGAAGUCCGAUAUGUUACAUUCUCCCCUCCUUAAAAGAGUUUCGUCCGCGAAACUCAAACCGCACCUCAAUUCGACUUAUCGAGCGUUUGAGGGCACCAAUGCACUUUUCUAGAUCCGAAUGGCUUUACUCUCUUUGGGACUAUCCAAGAGGCCCAGUACGGAGGGUACAAUACCCAUCACGUGCGACUUUGCAAGGUGCAUUACAGUUUCCGUCAUUCCUGACGGUAGAGCAAGUCGGAACUUGUUGGUUCCAAGCGCCCCAACUCCAUUUUCCACUUGGCAUGCAGGAAACCUUCUUUGCACUCGUUUUCCCCUUUCAGGCACUUUGUUUCCUCAUGAGUGCUCCAACUCCAAUUGGAUUCUUGCUCUAUUACGAGAUGGCACACUCCGGCACAUCUCCAAUCUCGAUCCACAAAGAGCAUUAUCCUCAAUCUCGUGUGGCUAUCCAUUAUCCAAGUGUCUCCUAGAGACCACUUGACUUUCUCUUUUCAUCGCCAUCCUAGCCACGACCAACACGACUUUGUUGUCGCAAUCCAUUCGCACGAUCACUUCACUCGUGACUUUAUGCCAAGCUCCACGACAGAGCUACCGGCCAAGCCGCUUUCCUCAGCUUCCACAGGUGGUCCAUAGACUGCCAACUCUACGUAGGCCUACCGCCAACCUGUCUCCACUAUGCAUAGCGUCCUUAGCUCUCUAGCGCAGACCCAAUCAACAUUCUCGGGCGAAAUUCUCACUUAGAAAUUCGCACACACUCCAACCAGGAGCUAUCAAGACCUCAAGCCACGUCAAGUCCUUGGGUUGGAUCACAACACACGUAGCGUACCACUAACCUCGUACUCUAACACGUGACAUCCACGCACUUGGGUCCAAACUCGGACUACCGCCCUGACCACAACUCUCGCCCUACCCGUAGGUACCGAGCCGCUGUCGCUCACAGCUGACUGUACCUGCCCAAAGGGCCCAGGCUCCACAGUCCACAAGUGGUCCAGGCAUGGGUCAUCCCCAAGCACUACCCGCCGUCGUCGUCCUGCGCGACAUACUCUAUCGAGUCACGUAUCACCACUGGCUCCUGUGCACCUAGUGCGAGCCACCAGCCCUGCGAGUGAUCCAUGGCCCGCUUCACACUUAGCAAGGCUAACGUGCUACUGCCAUCACACUCACGGCUGAAUCGGUACCGCGCAUCAUAAGCACUUAUACUCGAGCGCUCUACACGCCUCUACAGCGUUCCAACUACGUCAAGCAUUAGACAACUUUGUCUAUGCAACUAACCACUCUAGCACAACUCGCCUACCUCGACUAGAGGUACCACUAGGCCCACGUGGCUGCACUGGCCAACUACCCAAUCGGUCUCUCAACAGUGAUUUACUUUCACUGUUCGAUUUAUCGGAACAAUAUCAGAACUCUCAGUUUUCUCGGGUAUCUAACUCUACCAGUCUCCACGGUCCCUACUAUGCAAUGUACCAAUAGUAGUAACUGACCAUAUAAAAUGCAUGCUAUGCAUCAACUUAAGAUUAUGCGAAAGCAUAUACUUGCUUAAUUAAUUCAUACCUGCCCUGACGUCGUCAGCCGUAGCAGGUUCCUCAACUUGGGUCGCAUAUCCAUGGCCACUUGCCGCUAGCCGCGAGCCUCCUGGUUGCUCGAUCAUCCCAACUCGCUCUCCAGAUCAUGCCAAAGGUCGCACCUCCACAAGUUGUCUCGGAGAGGAAAAGGCCGUCGCCAGUGUUAGAGUUUGGCUCACGCCUUGCGGGCAUUCAUCCCGCAGGUGACCUGAUUGUCCGCAGCGAAUGCACCUUCCAUCACGCAGUGCACAUCGCCGCGCCUGGUGGGAACCACCACAAAAUCACGCAGCCUGAUGAGGAUCGGGUGGAGGACGACUUCGAGUGGUGUCUGGAACUUGAUUGCCCACUCGAACCACUUGAUAACGGCCUCCCCCUUUCCCGCUCCUGCUUAUGAGAUUCGCGCUCCUCACGCGCGAAAGCCUCGCCAUGCUCUGCCCACAAUGCUCGGUCCAAUACUUCCGCGAAAGUGGUGAGCUUGAGGAUCUGCACCCUCCUGUAGAUACCUGGUCGAAGCCCACGCAAGAACCAAUCGGCCAUAUCCUUGUCAUCCCGUACUACAGCCGGGACACAAUUCACGAUGCGGGAAAACUCCCGUUCGUAUUCCCUUACCGAGCGGUCUCCUUGCCGCAGCUUCCUGAACCUGUCCUGAAGCUUUCUCUUUUCAGUGUCGGGGAAGUAAGUUGAGAACACCAAUCCCCGAAACUCAUCCCACGCUAUAGGAGGAAGACUAGGCGAUCGAUUCCGCCGAAUGCCUUUCCACCACGCCUUCGCCGACAACUUCAAGCAGUGCACGGCUAGGGGCACUUUGUCCCGCUCCAAGGUGUACAGCUCCUCGAAGAGCGUUUCCAUAGAGUCAAUCCACAUCCCCACAAUCCACGGAUCGACAUUCUCUCCGUCAAAAGUAGGCGGAUCAAACUGUUUGAAGGUCAUGAGAGUCGCCAAAGCCCGCCCUUUUUCUGCCUCCAUUUCCACAGAACCAGGGGCCACUGCCCCCGAUUCCAUCGCCAUUCCCGUCGGCACACGGCGCGCUGCUAUCGGCGCAGCCGCCGUAGUCUGUCGUCCCAACAACUCAUGGAGCUCCUUGAUCUGCUCCUCCUGUCGCAUAGCAGCCUCCUGCUGCCGUUGCACCACCUCGGCUUGUUGCCGCAUCACUCCCACGAGUAUAGCUAACUGUUCGCGAAGCUCUGAGUCUCCGCUCGCGUCGGUUUGCUCAGGGACACCACUUGUCCCCUCCCGCGCCGAUCUAGAUGAAGAUCGCCUACGCGGUGCCAUCGUUUCCUGAAACACGACAAUUCGAUUAGUUCUCGACCAACUUGAGUCGAACACGAGACUACUAAUACCGGCUCAAAAGCCAAUCAGGCGAAAGUCACACAAGGGUGUCUAUUCUCAUCGCUCGGUUUCAUGUUGUGUGCACCCAACAUGAUCACCCUCGGUUGAGAAUAAACAUUACCUUGAAUCUACCUCUAUUAUCUGUUUUAGAGGUUUCGACACCAUCCAAUCCAUUACCUUUCGCCGCGAAUCACAAGUCCUCGUCUCUCACGAGCCUUAUUCUCCUAUGGUUUACUGUCCUAGGGUCUCCUAGGUUUGCCUAAACCAUUCCCAUUUUCUACUUUACGCUCUGAUACCAUCUUAUCUGUCACGCCCCGCGACCAACCGCCAAUUUGGACCGGGUCGCGGCGCCGACGACAGACCGCCGAACGGACCGGGGAUUCCCCUGUAUCGCGGACAGAGUCUCCCCUGUACAUUCAAGGCGUCGCAAUCCAAACAAUCAACGAAUGUUCCAACUAGGAACGGAUAUCAUUCCAGGUUGCAUAAGGAAGUAUCAAAACAUAAUCUACUAAGCUAUUACAACAUACACUUAGUUACAUUUUACAUCAUAAUCUUUCUUUUACAUUGAACUUCCAAAUACAAUUACUAUUAUUACAAUUUUAGUAGAGCCACCUAACAACCUUCCUCCUAGAGCUAACUGGAACAAUGCCCUUCCUCGUCCCUGGCCUCACCCGCGUGCAAGGUCUCUAAAGAAUCAUAAAACAGAGGUCGUGAAAUAUAAUUUAUAGUUCCCAGUGGGCAAUUACUGGACCUCUAGCUAUCGAACAAACUAGCCCAAAGGAAAUGUAGUAUAAUAAAAACAAUAAGGAUAAACAUAACAAAGUAGAAAGCAUAAUUUGAAGUGCUAAACCCAUAUGUCCUCAAUGUAAGCAUGAUGCCAUGGUGAUGUACAUCUACGCUAUCAUGGAAGAUCAUAUCUCACAUGCAUACUAAUAUUCUCACAUAAAAACAAUUAAACGCCUCACGAUCAAUAUGUCAAUGCAUAAGGGUAAACACUAUCGCAACGACCGAGUAUAUACUAUCAAAUAAUGAUACCGGCAAGUAUAACUAAAUAGUAAACCAAUCUAUAUCAAUAGCGGUCGAAGCAUAUCCAACUACUAAUUCUCUAUCUAGUCUGAUUGCCUUAUACCAACCGUUGUCGAUUUCCAUAUUUUUUUCAUUUAAGGACCAUACCGAAGGUAUACAGUUGUGCCGCCUAAAUUUCUGUGUAGCACCGACAUCCCUACUUCUGUGGAAUUUCGUCCCAUCUCGAUCCCGUAGCUCUUCUCAAAAGACACGAGCGAAAUAGUCACGUAGGCUAACUCCGGAAUGCCCUUGUAGGACGGACCCUCACAGCAUUGGCGAAAUAAGCACAAAUGGUCAAGCAGCUUAUCAUCCUCAAUGUCGCAAUCCUCAGUGUCUCUAACAUGGUAAUCAAAAUAGCAUCCCGAAAAGCUAGUCUAACUCACAAAAUGAAGUUCCAACAUUCAUUAACGCCAGUGCCCUUGAUGACACAUAGAAAUCUAAAUGUUCAAAAUAUCCCCAAUCCCUCAAUGGACUCUAACCACUAUUCACAAUGUCCCGAGCUCAAUGCCGCUUGAUGACAUUAGCUCUCAUCAAUUCACAUACCUUCUAAAUGCAAUCUGUCCAUCAUUCAUGUCAAAGUAAACUCAAAGUUUAAAAAUGCAAAUCCGAACUCAUUUAUUAUAAUGAAACAUAUAACAAGUUCUCAUAAAGAAUCUAAAGAACCAAAUAUCUCAAACGCAACUCUCUACACAAGAGGUCCAAAUUUCAUCAUAUAUAACAUAAUGCCAUUUUAAAGCAUCUAAAACACAUACAUUAAAUACAUUUAAUGAACAAUGCAUGCUUUUAUCGAUUUACGCGCAUAAUAAAACCAUAUAUAGAAUUUCUCAAUAAUACGGCUAGGUAACCCACCGACCGUCGCGUAGGGUCUCGAUUCGGCCGAACAACAGUUGCCCCGAGUCUCAAAAUACCCUAAAAGAUUUGAGGGACAAGAUACACGGCAUACAUCAACUAUAAAUAAACUUUAAACAAAUUUAAAACAAAAGGCUAAAACUCACUAAAAUGUUGAAAAUCUCUCUCACUCAAAAGAGCUAAAUCCCAUUCUCAAUGCAAGCCCAAGGAAGGUAUCUAAUUCCAACCAAUUGUCCAAAAGCCUAGAUCAAAAAAUGCCAAUACGAGCCCUAAAACCCCAUCUAGGGUUCAUCUCAAAAAACCUCCAAAAUUCAAAUCUAGAGAAAUCUAUCCACUUACCUCCUUAGAAGCCCAAAACACAGCUCAAAGUCCCCCAACUUCCAGUAUUUUCCUCACAAACUCCAAACAAGUUCCAAGCUUCAACAUGUGAAAUAUGCUGCACAAUAGUCAAAAGAGAUGGAAAACCCACAAAAAUCCAAUCUAGACAUAGAAUAAAUCAAGUGGCAAGGUUGGGAAGCUUCCUUUUACCUGGUUCUCAUCUCUUACCCAGCUCAGGGAGGCUAGGGGCGUAGGCUAGUAUAAGAAACCAACAAUUCGCAAUAGACCCUGCAGAACAACUGUGAAAUCUGCAUCCUUGUACCGUACCGGGAUCUGUACUCGGUAAAGAGCUACGAAAAUCCAAAACAGAGGCUCGGGUACGCGGUUCUCUGCGGCACUGAUAACCGUACAGCCCGCUGGCUCUAUCCGGAUACAACCAUCAACAUUGAACUCGUACAGAACCAUGCCUGUACCGACAAACCUGCGAAAAUGCAAACCGAGACUCGGUUGCGAGUCUCGCUCUGUAACCAGUAUACAGCACAACCUUGUUACCGUAACAUAGCCCGCCAGGAACAGCCAAAUUUCGGAUCUGAGAGUCUACCAAAAUUCAAAUUUUUGAGUUUUGGUGGCAGGCUUCGUAAUCCACACUCCUAACGCACAGUCCAUAGGUCUGAACACAGUAAACGACCUACCAGAAAAUCAGGAAAAGCUCAGCGCACACUAAUCACUGAACCUCGCAAUUGCAAAGGUCAUGUUACAGUUAAGUCACAGAGUGCGGCCAGUGCGCGGACUAUCCGCGGAUGAUUGACUCGAGGCCGAGUCGGGUGGUUAGCUUGAUUAGGUUAAUAAAAACCUUAUAAGCUAGUGAUAAAGGUAAGAGCUAAGGUAAUAGAGACCUUAGAGGCAAAGUGAACUUGAGUUGUGAACUGAGGUAGUAGAACAUUAGAGGCUAAAUGACAUGAGCUAAAGUUAGCAGAGUUAAUGUAGAAUCAAUAGAUCUGCUAAAUGGUUGCUUAGUUGUGUAGAACUGCAUAAUAUUCAUAUUGCACGUUGCGAGGCAUGUUAUCUGUUAGUUGCAUAGUAACAUUAUGAUUUAUAUAUCUAUAGAUGUUUUGGACUAAUAUGGUUGCAGUGCCUCCUUGGACCUUUUGGUCGAGCUUUUCCCUUGGGUGGCCGUACCCACUGGGAACCAUGGAGUUGGUUCUCACCCCACGUUGUUUUGGGGUUUUACAGGUUCGCACGUGAGCGGCGCGGCGGCGCGAGGAAAGGGCGUAGCUCAGUAGAUAGCGCCCUACCCAGAGACCAGAGCUAGCAGUACCCCGUCGACGUGGCUAGGGGUAUAGAAAAUGAAAAGAACACGAAUGUAUCAAUUUGUAGAUAAGUUUGUAAUAACUAGAUUGUAUUUGGAGGAAAGCAAAUGAGAAUUGUGAUGUAAAACCAAUGAAUGUAAAUGUAUGUAAUCAUAUAGGAUGUGUUAUGUUGUUGAUACCUUCCUUAUGCAGUCUGUUUGUUGAGUACUGUUCCUGGUUGGUACCUUUGUAUUGUAUUGAUUGCGAUGCCUUGAACGUACAGGGGAGACUCUGUCCGCAGUACAGGGGAAACCCUGUCCGUUCGGCGCUGUCGGCGCCGCGACCUCGGCCAAAUUGGCGGGUGGUCGCGGGUCGUGACAGGAGAUGGUAUCAGAGCAUAAAGUAGAGAAUGGGAAUGGCUUAGACUGACCUAGGAGACCCUAGGAUAGUAAAACCAUAGAAGAAUAAGGCUGGUGAGAGACGAGGACUUAUGAUUCGUGGCGAAAGAUUAAUGGAUUGGGUUGUGUUGCAAACCUCUAAGACGGAUAUUAGAGGUAGACUCGAGGUGUGGUUUAUUCUCAGCCAAGGAUGUUCAUGUUGGGCGUACGACAACAUGAAACCGAGUGAUGUGAAUAAACACCCUUGCGUGACUUUCGCCUGAUUGGCUUUUGAGCCGGUGUUAGUGGUCUCGCGUUUGACCUUGAGGGUCGAGAACUAAUCAAGCUUUCUUGUUUCAGGAAACGAUGGCGCCGCGUAGGCGAUCUUCGUCCAGAUCGGCGCAGGCGGGGACAAGUGGUGUCCCUGAGCAAGUCGACGCGAGCGAAGACUCAGAGCUUCGUGAUUAGUUGGCCAUACUCGUAGGAGUGAUGAGGCAACAAGCGGAUAUGGUACAACGGCAGCAAGAGGCUGCCAGGCGCCAGGAGGAGCGAAUGGAACGACUCCAAGAAACGGUGGAUCGGCUGGUGGCUGCACCAGCUGCAGCUCGUCGAGGACGGCCAGGAGUCGCGACGAAGGUAGUUCCGUUGGGGUCGGGCGAUCCGACUCCUAUUAGUUUCGAGGUGGAGGCGGAGAGGGAGCGAGCUUUGGCGGCCCUCAUGGCUUUCAAGAAAUUUGAUCCGCCUACCCUUGAUGGUGAGGAUACAAAUCCGUGGAUCGCAGAGAUGUGGAUUGAUUCCAUGGAAACGCUCUUCGAGGAUUUGUACAUGUUCGAGCGAGACAAGGUAAACCUAGCCGUGCACUAUCUAAAACAAUCGGCGAAGGUGUGGUGGAAAGGCGUCAAGCCAGAUCGAUCGCCUAGUCUCCCUCCGAUGACUUGGGAAGAGUUUCGGGGAUUGGUGUUCUCAGCCUAUUUCCCCGACAGUGAAAAGCGGAAGCUUAAGGAAAGGUUCCAAAAGCUGCAGCAAGGAGAUCGCUCAGUCAGGCAAUACGAGCGAGAAUUUUCCCGUAUCGUGCAUUGUGUCCCGAACGUGGUACGGGAUGACAAGGACAAAGUCGACUGCUUUGUGCGUGGACUGCGGCCAGGCCUUUACAAGGCUGUGCUUGUACACAAGUUGCAAACUUUUGCCGAGAUCCUGGAUCGGGCCUUGUGGAUAGAACAAGGCGAGGCAUCUGCGGGAGGAGCGCGAGGCAUAUUACAAGGAAAAAGGGAAAGGACGGCCAGGGAGCGGACUCGAUGGUCAGUCAGGUUCCCAACGAACUUCGAUGAUUUCGCACUCUCGAUCCCGAGCUCCGGGGACUUACCACAUUCGGUGACCCUCUGCGAGAGGUGUUAUGUGUGGGGGCCUUUGUUACCCACAACAAUGUGAGCAGCGAGAAGGCAAGUGCUUCAGGUGUGGGCUGCCGGGUCAUACGCGGGACAAGUGUUCGCAAGGUGAUAGCCGGGCCUUGACAUUGGCGAUGGCCCAUUCCUCCCUGGGACAGCCUGCAAGUGUGCCACCUGUGGCAUGGUCAAGAGAGCGGCCGUUGAGGGCAAUGCAACCGGAGGAUUCGUGGCGAGCGCCAAGUGGCCAUGGAGAUGCGACCCGAGUUACGGUGCCUGCCAUUGCCGACGACGUCGUGGCAGGUAUGAGUUGAUUGAGCAAGCAUAUACUUUUGCAUGAUCUCAAGUUGAUGCAUAGCAUGCAUUUAUCGUAUGGUCAGUUACUACUAUUUAUACAUUGCAUAGUAGGGACCGAGGGGAUGGGUAGGUAGAUACCCGAGCAUGCUUGCAUUGUGAGAGCGUAGCGCCUGCUGGAGCAGGUAGAGGGCCAAAUGGUACUAGCGAAUUGCUAGUAGUGAUUUUGGACAAAAGAUGAGACUCGUGGUAAAGAUGAAGUGGUGAAAGGACUCUCGAGAUAGUGGAUUAGAGAUUGCGAGAGUUGAGCCACGAAGUUGAGAAUGUGUUCCGGUAGAUCGGACAGUGAAAGUAGAAUCACUGUUGAGAGAGCGGUUGGUUGAGGCCAAGUUUGGCCUGUGGGCCUAGUAGUACCUCGAAUUGAGGUGAACGAAUUGUGCUCGUGUAGUCAGUGGGCAUAGGCAAGUUGCCUAAUGCUUGACCUAGUUGGAACAUGAUAGAGACGUGUAGAGCGCUCGAGUGUAGACACUCGUAGAGUACGGUUUUGAUUCAGCCGAGUGAGUGUGAUGGCAGUAGCACUUUAGCAUGGCUAAGUGCGAAACGGGCCAUGGAUCGCUCGUAGGGCUGGUGGCUCGCACUAGGUGCUUAGGAGCCGGUAGUGGUACAUGCAGCUCGGUAGAGUGUGUCGUGUAGGACGACUACGACGGGUAUCGCUUGAGGAUGAUCCGUGCCUGGACCAUUUGUGGAUUGUGAAGCCUGGGCCCAUUGGGCAGGCGCAGUCAGCUGUGAGUGACAGCAGCCCGAUACCUACAGGUAGGGCAGAGAGUUGGUCAGGAUGGUAGUCCGAGCUUGGACCCGAGUACGCGGAAUGCCGCGUGUUGGAUCAUGAGAUCGAGGAUACACAGGGUGUGUAGUGACCCAACCCGAGGACUUGACGUGGUUGAGGUCUUGGUUGCUCCUGUUUGGAGUGUGUGCGAAUUCCCAAGUGAGAAUUUCGCCCGAAAAUGAGGAUUGGGUCUACGCUUGCGAGCGAGAGACGCUAUGCGUAGUUACGAUAGGUAUAGGCGGUAGGCCUACGUAAUGAUUACGACCGUUGGUCCGCCUAUGAAAACCGAUGAUCGGUGCGGCCAGCAACUCUGUUAGUGAGUUCGGCUUGGAUUCACGAACGGAGGGUUCAUGUGAUGUUGAACGUGGCUUAUAGUAGUAAAGGAUAAAGAGAAAAGUAAAGUGUUCUCUAGGAGACACUUGAAUAAGAAAUAGCCACGUGAGGGUUGGUGUAAGGAAGUGAAUUCUCGAAAUGCGAGAGUUGGACUUCGCUCAAAAUCGACAAAUUGUCGAGUGGUUGUGCUUCGGAAAUGCCGAAGAGGUCAAAUGCACCAAAAGUGCAUUGCAACGGAUCCGCGAGAGCAAGUGUGCAAAAAUCUGCACUUGGCAGAUUUGCUCUCGGGGACCGGUCCCUGGCAGGGAAGGACCGGUCCCCCGUAGCUGGUUGGUGCGGGGUUGCGUGAUGCAACCGGUCCCUGGGCCAGAGGGACCGGUCCCCCGUGUGCGAAACCGGCGAGAAGAGGAAAUUGGCUAAGUCCUGCGAGAGCAAGCUCUCGGGGAUCGGUCUCUAGUGGACAGACCGGUCUCCGGGGGACCGGUCCUCCAGGGACAGACCGGUUCCCGUAAGUGUGUUCAGGCUGAAGGCUCUCGGGGACCGGUCCCUGGCAGGGAGAGACCGGUCCCUCUGCGCAAAAAAUUGCCCAGGUAGGCUGGGUCAUGUUGACGGAGUUGGAGAGCUUAAGGAUAAUGCUCUUUUGUGGAUUGAGGUUCGAGAUGCGCCGGAGUGGGCCAUCUCUCAAUAGAGCAAAGAUCCUGAUGUGAUUGGAGCACUUGCGAUUGGUCGAUGCACAAUGAUACUGCUUCUAAGCAAUGUUGGUGAUCGAAUCGGAGGGUGUUCCCCGACGAGAAAGUAAAAUGCAAAGAAAAGUUCUUGUAUGUCAAGUGGUGAAUGAUGUUGUAGCGCGUAGAGCCGUUCAGUUUCGACUUGCGCUACCACAAGAAUAGCGGAGACCCGUAAUGCACUUUCGGGGUUAUGCUUGGCAAAUGCGAGUGAAUCUGAUCUCACAUCCCUCGUAGUGGGCCUUUGGACAGUUCCAAUGAGCAUAAGGCCACUCUGAAGUGAAAAAGUGCACUAUACCCUUUGUUACUCGAUAAAUAGAGUUGGGGUAUAAAUUGGAGUUGGAAUUAUUUGAGUUUCGAGGACGAAACUCUUAUUAAGGAGGGGAGAAUGUAACAUACCGAACUUCUAAAAUCAUGAAGUCACGGUGUACAUUUAAAUGGUUCCGGUGAGGUUGCGGUGGAAUGUAACAUACCGGAUUUUAAGUAGAAAAGUGAAAAUAAAUAAAAAUAGUAUGAGAUACUAUUUUAUUGGAUUUAGAGAAGUGAAAUAUCGGGUGGUGAGCGACCUGUGCUGAAAUCGGAGCGAAAACAGAAGAUUUAGAAUUUUCUGUUGGAAACGGGACUAAUAAAUUAGCAAAAAAUGCACAGUCUCAGAAAAUUAUGAAAAUUGGCGGGAAUGUCAGAAAUAUUUUUAUGAGGCUAGAUUUAAAGUUUCAUACCAUUCUGACACCCGUAGAGAGAGAAAUAGGAUCCGAAAGCUAUCUGAUAAAGAUUGCAGUUCGGUAUAGUUUUCGGUGACCAAACGGGGUCGAAAAACGCGUUGGCGAAGACGGUUCGGCAAUCCGACGGCCGUUACAAAGUUAUUAAAGAAAUGACGUUUAAGCUUCGGAUCCGCGGAGGGCCGGUAGGCCGACGUCUAAAAUUCGAUGAAAUGGUUUUGAGGCAUCUUGCAACGAUAAACCGAAGACCUUACAUUUUUCCGGGGCUUACGAAGCGGAGCACGGUUGAGCGCAGUGCAAGAUCGGGCCGUGCGAUACGGGUGCCGCGGCGAGGCCGAUUGCAAGGUGUCGACAAGCAAUCGGAACGCGAAUUAGAAGUGGGCGUUGUAUUACGACGAAGCGACGAGGUCCUUUAUGUCUAAGAAAGGAUAAGUAAUCCAUGUUGGAUAGCAUAUAGAAUUAAAUGAAAGCAAUGAAAUGAUGUCCAUGUUAAUGGUAAAUGCCAAGGUAGAAAUGCAUAAUGAUAAAAUGCAAAUUAGCUAAGGACAAUGCAUGAUAAUAUAAUGACUGAAUUAACAUGCUAAGUAGAUCUAAGAUAUAUAUAGUUAUAAAUAAUAUCAUAUGAUAUAACUUUGAAAUAAAAUGACUAUCAUGGUAUUGAUACCGAGGCAUCUCAAUAGAAAUGUUAGUGUUAUUACAACCCCCACACACCACAAAUCCGAAGCCAAAGGGCUCACCCCUAAUGAUAUAAUAAACAUAAGUCAAUUAUAAUUUAAAUAGAAUAUGAAACCUAGUGGUCCAUCCGAACAUAGUUAACAUAACAAUAGGAGUUUUUAUUAAUUAUAUACACUAGUAGAGACAUUGAACCUACGGCUUGUCGAGUAUGAGUCGGUACACCACUAGGAUGCCUAAUAGGUCGGCCAGCUGGUUGGCAUAUGGGAACACUCCGACCUGUGGAAAAAGUAACACGACACCACCAGACAAUCUUUGAUAACUCUGUAUCAGCUAGCGCGUAAUGCGACGAUUUCGACAGACACAGUAAUCCAAAGGAAAUAAGAGUGAGUGAACCGAAAUAAAACCAGUACCGGAAGGCUUGAACCAUUGACCCGUGGCGCUGUGCGACGAUUGAUCGCAAACAGAGAACACAAAUGGUUAAACCAGUUCGUGGAUUAUAAACCGCACGAAACAGCGUCAGCUUGAGGCCUUGUGAUGCAGGGCUGACAGAGUGCACCAUCUUCGUUUCAGACACAGAGCCCGAGAACAUGAGCCCAACAUCAAGGGAAUGACAGUGAUUAACGAGGAACGUGUGCGACAGCUAUCACCGCCACGCAAUUGAUAUACAUCACAGUGCCUAGCAGAUGCCAGAACUCACAUCCAGCGGAGGAGAUUUGAGACUCACCGGAAGUCAGAGUAGGAUUUACGCUUAAUAUAGGUUAAUAAGACAUUAAGCAUAAGUGAAGGUACGGUCAAGGCUAGGAUAUAGAGAAACUAUUAGGAAGCAUAGUUGGACAUUUGUCUGACUGGAGAGAUUGCCAUAUAAGACUACAUACACUGAUAACAAGAUAACAUAGACUAAAUGGUUGCUUAGGUUUUGAACUGCAUAUACAAUCAUCAUGAAUUGCACGUUGCGCAGGCAUGUUAGUCGUGUUAGGGUUGCAUAGUAAAAUUAUGAUUUAUCUACCUCUCAUACGACUGGUUUGGACUAAACAUGUAUCUGCACGUGCCUCCGUUGGCCACCUUUUGGUCCGAGCCCUUUUCCCCUUAGGUGGCCCGUACCCUGGGACCAUCGGAGUGUGGCUUUCUCACUCCCACCGUUGUUUUGGGUUUUACAGGUUCGCACGCUGAGCGGCAGCGGCCGGCGCGAGAAAAGGGCGGUAGCUCCAGUGAGAUACACGCGCCCUACGCAGAGACCCAAGAGCUAGCAGCUACCCGUCCGACGGUGCGCUACGGGGAUAGAAAAUGAAAAGAACACGAAUGUACUCAAUUUGUAGAUAAGGUUUUGUAAGUAACUAGAUUGUAUUCGGAGGAAAGCAAAAAUGCAGAAUUGUGAUGUUAAACCAAUGACAUGUAAUGUAGUGUUAAGUCAAUAUAGGAAUCUGUUAUGGUUGUUGAGGCACUUUCCUCUCUAUGCCAGUCUGUUUUGUUGAGUACCUGUUCCUGCGUUGGGACCUUCUGUAUUGUAUUGGAUUGCGAUGCCCUUGAACGCCUACAGGGGAGCACUCUGUCCGGUGCAGUACAGGGGAAACCUGUCAGUUCGCGGCCUGUCGCGCCGGCGAUCGGCAAAAAAUGGCGGGUGGUCGCGGGUCGUGACACUCUCUUUCCUCUCUCUACACGUGAAGCCCCCUCUCUUUUUACCCUCUGGCAACCCACCUCCUCUCUCUCCCUCUUUUCUCUCUCUGACAACCCCCUCUCUCUCUCUCUCUCUCUAGUUCCCAAACCAUUCUUCUUUUUUUCUUUUUUUCAUUUUCUCCCUCCAUCUCUCUUCCUCUUUUCCCUUCUCUAUGGUGGUGGUCCGCGCCGACGCCUUUCAGGCCGCAGCGCUACUCGAUCCCGAACGCGCCGACGCUUUCCAGGCCUUUCAGGCCGCACGAUCUCUCUUCCUCUUUUCCCUUCUCUACGGUGGUGGUCCGCGCCGACGCCUUCCGAGCUGCAGCGCUACUCAAUCUCGGAUGCGCCGACGCCUUCCGCAUGUUUAUCAUGUGUUUAUAAUGUGUAGUAGGAGAAAAACAUAUCUGUGUUUAUAAUGUGUACUUCAAAAUUGUGUAUGCUUAUAUUAAACUGCAUCUCCCAAUACUUGGCUGAUCAACUUGUCCGGAAUAAGAUGACCGAUCAGUUAGCUAGUCUACAACAGUUGGCCUGCAUGCCAAUCAGCCUUCAUGAUUUAGCAUUUUCCAAUUUCAGCUUAAUGUUAAUUACAAUUAUAUUACAAUCAAACUCAACCAAGGAAAUGGGCUGCAUCUUUUUUGGGGGCUGAUUUACUAUAUAGAUGAUAAUUUCAGUUAAAGAAGAUUUUAAGGUCGCACUUCUAAGGGAGUAACAAAUGAAGCAUCUCUUCAAGAAAUGUCUAUCAGAGGUGAAUUUGACCCCGCAAGUAGGUAUUGGAUCAAAUUUAUCCAAUUGGGGGAGGAAGAACCAGCUUAAGUCUAUCAGAUCUAACCCAACCAUCGAUAGCUUGCAAAAGGUUGUCCAGUUUAUUUCCAAUUUCACACUUUCACACAUUGAUUCAUUUAUGCUUCCACAAUGUCCAAACUGGCACUAACAUAAGAUGCCAUAGUAGUCUAACAAUUACCUAAAUAACUGGGGUUGAAAACUACCUGACUAUAUCAUCUAUUUUUAUCGAACAAAAACACUGAACAAGGAAGCAUGAAACAGCAAAAAGAGAUGAUAUAACGAAACAAAGGAGCUAGCAAAGAAUACAGGAGGAAAAGAAAGAUUUUGCAUGAAGAACACAAAAAGUGAAAGUGCUCCCACAUGAGUAGUUUCUGUUUCUUAGUCCACAGACGAGGACUAUCUACAAGCAAAAGUCGAGGAGAUGAGCUUCAAUGAUUCAGAACAAAAAAUGGACCUCGAAAUAACAAAAUGAAAGCAAAGAAAAUGGUGAUCUAGAAUUGUUAUACAUAUCCAAAACAAUAAGCACAAGAAUGUUCAGCCAUAUUAGUAACUGUACAGACUUCAUUAACUCUGCAAAUACGAGGAGAUUACAUUCUUCUAGGUACUUGGUUUGCUGCAUUUACAUUCAACCUGGUAGUGACUUCACCACCCAUAGCAUUCAAGUAUAUUUGGGCAUUUCUGCAUAAAGGAGGUGGAACUACUCCAGAAAGCUGUGAAAUAAAUAAAUCAAUGAGCACAUUACAUAAAAGCAGCAGAUAAAAUUAACAAAUAAAAGAAUUGCCUCUUAAAGAUAAAUUGUGACAAGAUCCUCAAGAUCCUAGAUGGAUCCUUAAAUAAAGUAUAAUGAUUAAACACCAACAAUGCACAUAUCUUAGAUGGAUGGAUCCCCAAGAUCCUAUUUUGAUGAGAUUUUUUGAGAAUACCCCAGAUCAAUUAUGAGCUUUGUCAGAAACCAAACACUCUACUUCAAAGCAUACUAAUCCAAAUGCAAAUACCAAUUUCUCAUAAGCUUAAAAGGGAGAAAUUUUACAAAAUCAAGUGCUCAGGUCAAAUUAAUAAAGAAUCAAAUUUUGGUUUGACAAUGACAUAUGCAUAAACACAAAAUCAGAAGUUCCCAUAAUAACCGAGACACUUACCUUCGAGAUCUUCACGAGAACGGCACCGUCAGGGAUCGAAGGUGCGGGAACCGCCGCAGUUGGAGAACUAAAUCCUAAGAUCGUUGCCCGAGAUCGAUCCGAGUAGCUCACGGGGCCGAGGGAGCGCGGCGCGUCUGGGAGCGAUCCUGUAGCACGCGGGCCAGAAGGCGUCGAUGCGAAGGGGCGCGUCCGAGAGCGAUCCUGUAGCGCCGCGGGCCGGAAGGCGUCGGCGCGGAGGGGGCGUCCAGGAUGAAAGGGAAAGAGGAAGAGAGAUGAAGGGAGAAAAAGUAAAAGAAAAAAGAAAAAGAUCUGGAUCUGGUGGGGGAACCAGAGAGAGAGAGAGAGAGAAAAAAGAGAGAGAGAGAGGGUGGCUUGCCAGAGGGUAAAAAAAGAGGGGGCUUCACGUGUAGAGAGAGGAGAGAGAGGAAUGGCGUUAUUUGGCUGUCCGUCUAGUUCACCCCUUAAGUGCGCACGGAUCUCGAGGCGAAGCCGAUCCAACGGUGAAAAAAAUGCCAAGCAUAAGAGCUCAUGUGCUUUUAAAAGCACAGGAGCUCUACUAUAUAUGAAUUAAACUCCUAUGCUUUUAAAAGUACCAAAUUAUUGGUGUUUGUAGAUUUUUAGCCAUUAUAUUAAGAGAUAUGCGGUUAGGAUGAUGUGGGUCCCCUAGGGUUGAGUGGAUUGUUGGUUGAAUAGUAUAAUCUAAUGGUUGAAAAUGAUCCGAGAAGUAGAUCUAACGGUAAAAAACUUACAAGCACCAAAUGCUUGGUACUUUUACAAACACCAUAGCUGGUAUAUAUAUAUAUAAAAGCUAUCUUGGUACAUAACAGAAGUACCUCAUAACAGAAGUACCUCUUGCGCAGAUUUUGAUGCUUGAGUUUCCUUUUUAUCUCUUCAUCUGUUCUUUUUGUUAGUCCUAUCAUGAAUCUUUCCUAGUAUUACACUACAAAAUUUUCGUUAAAUUUUAUUUUUUUUAUUAUAGAAGUAAAGUUUGUAAAUUUGAUACUAAAAUUAUAUAUAUAUAUAUAUAUAUAUAUAUAUAAUAAAAUUAUAAAAAAAUAAUUUUUUAUUAUCUUAUACUCGCUCAACAAGCAGUUAAACGAGUGACUCUCGACCCGAUAAUAUUUAUGGUUCACGAUUCGACCGAUUUAAAAGAAAAAAAAUGAGAGUGUGAAGUGCUUCUUUCUUAUUGUUAUAUGUGAUUUGCACUCAUUAGCGUGCUGUUUUGGUUGUGCUUCAUUCUCAAGCUACUUAUUUGUAACGUAAUCAACCUAUCUUGAAUUGAUUGUUGGAGAGGAGUUCGGGCAAUACAAAAUAUUUUAUUGAACUGAUUAUUGGGUACUGAUUUAAUUUUAAUAAAGUUGAUAUAUCUAAUCAUUUAAUGAUAGAGNAUCGGCCUAAUCGCUUGAUCCUCUGUGGGCGCAUAUUUCGAGGGUCAUAAUCCGCAGCCGUCUCGCAUCCCGACGAUCUUCUCGAGGAGAAUUAUUGACCGGGUCAAGGGUCGAGACGUUCGGCACCCAACAAUUUUUUGGCAUGCCUAGUGGGACUUGCUUUUGAGGUAAAUUUGCAUUUUUAUAUAUAUAGUAUGGCUGAUGACAACGCCAUGAAUCUCCGUAAUAGGGCCAUUCACAGAAAUUCUGGGAGUGAACAGCCCAGUAACUCAGAGAACGCUGUGGAGCGCCAAGCAGUUUUACCGGUUGAAGUUGAGACCAGUGGUCAAUCUGGCCAACAGGAGCCUAGUUUGACCCAAGCACUUGGCCAAAUGACUCGGGUCCUACAGACUUUGGACCAAAAUAGUCACGCAAGUACCGCACGGCUGGAUGCCGUUCUGGCCGCAAUCACAGCCUCUAACGAGAACAUAGCCCGAAUAGGGCAGUUGUUAACUCGGAACGAACAGCCGAUAGCAGGCCUUCAAGCGCCUGUGAUAACGCCGGUGUUACAAAAUCCAGGAACAUCGGUAGUUGGUCAGCCCCAAUACCAGGGGGCACAAUAUCAAGCGGCUUACAGACCGGUCGUUGGAAACACCGGUCAACAGCCGGAAGUGGCUUGGGGAUUACCUCCACCCCCUCCAGUUGCAGCCUACCAGGCCCAAAACGUAGGGGCUAGGGGGCAGGCUCCGAAUGCACAAGGGUUUAAUCCCCUAGUACAGAAUCUCGGGGUUCAACAACCACCGAAUCCAGUGCCAACGCAAGUCCCCAUACAGGGGAUUAAUAAUGAGAUAUAUGCGCAAAUAGAAGAAGCGAUCCGGAAUACUUUCGGAGUAGACACAAGGCCGGCAAUGCGGCCUGUAUUCAGAUCACCAUAUCCUGCUAAUAUAGAUGUAGAACACCCAUAUCCGGCAAAUUGGAAGAUGCCGAAAUUUGACAAAUUUUCGGGAGAUGAGACCGAAAAUACGGUCGAACACGUCGCUCGAUUUACAGCCCAAUGCCGCGAAGCAGCGGCAGAUCCUUUUUUAAAGUUAAGGUUAUUCAAUACUUCAUUAACCAAGACAGCCUUCACUUGGUAUACAAGUCUACCUGCUAAUUCCGUUCAAGACUGGGAUGAAUUAGAGGGUAAAUUUUAUGAGCAGUUUUAUAGAACCGAACCUGAGUGUCGGUUGCAGACUUGGCUCAAUUUAGACAAAGAACAGGAGAAUCGGUUGAUGAAUAUUUAAACCGAUUCAAGACGGCUCGAAGCCGAUAUUUUGUAAGGAUGCCGGAAUCAGAGUUUGCCAAAAUGGCAUUCAACGGCAUGCAUUUUAAAAUCAAAGAUCAUUUUGAGGAUAAGUUCUUCCCAAACCUGUUUGAUUUGGGGAUUCGAGUUGCUCAAUACGAGCAAUUUCGAAAAGGGAAUAAUGAGGAUCGGCCUAGGUGGAGCUGAAACAAAGAUUGGAAUAAAGGGAAAGAAAAAAAAUAUCUCUUUCUUUGAAGAAUCCUCGGCUCAUGAAGAGCCGAAUUCAUAUGAAGAGGCAGAAAAUUCGGCUGAUGAAGCCGAGAUCUGUGCUGCCGAGAAGGUAAGAAAUAGUCAACCAUACAAAUGUGCUUUGCUAAAACCUGCAAAGUCAAGAGAAGAAAAGCACAAAUAUCAGCAUUUAGUUAUUCAUUUGACAUCGCAAAGACCGAUCUUAUUUUCGAUCGGUUGUUAAAAGAUGGAGGCAUUAAAUUACAGGAAGGCCAAACUAUACCUCCUGUAGAAGAAUUGAAACGCAGAAGAUACUGCAAAUGGCACCAUUCAUGGAGCCAUAAAACUAGUGAAUGCACUGCCUUUAAGAGGCAAAUUCAAAAAGAGAUAAAUGAGGGUCGGCUGAUCUUUGCUGACCAAGACAACAAAGAUAUGGAAAUUGAUAAGAAUCCUUUUCCAUCACAGGCCAACGUCAUAAACAUGAAAAGGAAAGGAAAAGCGACUACGAAAAGGCAAAUACAAGAAGAAAUCGAGGAGGGUCGGCUCAUAUUGGCCGACCAAGAAAACGAAAAUAAAAUAAUUAACAAAAAUUCAUUUUCGUUUCAGGUCAAUAUGGUGAAUAUUAAAGGGAAAGAAGUUUUGGACAAGGAGACCGCUGACAACUUGGCCCAUGCCAAGAAACAUCUUCAGCUAUGCAUCAGGUGCAAGGCCGAAAUGACGAAGAAAGACUGGGAAGCCAUCGUGAAUGCCAAGAAAAGGGGGAACGAAUGGAAUGAGCUGAUGGUGUUCCCUGAGGAUUGGGAUGACAUUCCUGAUGGCGAAGAUCAAGAGGAGGAAGGCUCGGAUGCAGCCUCUAAUGAUACGGAACCGGAAGUAGAUUCGGUUCAAUGCAAGAAAGAUAUUCUCAUGCAGAAGAUUCUGCAUGAUUACUACAACAACAGGCAUGGAGAACGUCAUGGCCGAUGGGACUACCAGGAUAGACCAUUCGGCUCCAAGCAAAGGUUCCCUGGAUAUCGGCCACACUGGCAACAGCAAGCCAGGCCGAGACCAGAACCAGAAUUUGAAGGAAUGACCGAGGGGGACAUAGAAUUCCUCGGUCAGAGACUAGUCAACAAACUCGGCAUUCAGCCUUGGCCGAGACCAUGGGAAAGAAGAGAAAUUCUAAAAAAUCAUUUAAGAACAGUAAAAGUACCAGCAAACGUGCCAGUGGAUGAGUGGCACGAAGUCGAAGUUAAACCAUCGGCCAGAUGGUAGGGGCCGAUGUUAACAAAAAUCCAAAAGCGUCGACAGCAGAGGAUGCAAGCCGAGGCACGUCAACAUUAUGAAGAGGUGAAAGGGAUGAGGCUCAACGUAUGAAGACGCCCGGAUGAGCAGCCACACCUUUUUUGUCCGAUGAGGAAUGACCAUGAGGCAGGCGGCUCAUCGCCUGCCCUACAGUUGAAGUCAAGAAUAGAACGGCCAACUGAGGCCGAGUUAGAAGAGAAAAUGACCAGGAGGGAGUUGGAGGAUAAAAUAGCUUCCCUCGCGACGAUGAUCAAGAGAGAAAGGUGGCCUCCUAAAGAGAGGGAGGUCCGCAUGGAGAGCAACUCCUCAGCCGAAACGGCUAAGGAGUCAGAAGAGAAGAAACAGAGAAUCAAAGGAAAAUCGGCUGACGAAUCACCGGCCGAGGUGAAUAUGGUGUACGCUCUGCCUCAAUCCUUCAAAGCAGAGCUUGUGGAGUACGAGGAAUUCAGAGAAGAAGAAGAGAAUGGGCUUACAGUAGCCCAGUUGCAGCUAGAGGAUGUUCGACAGGCCGAUGCAGUGGUUUUUGAGAAACCAUCGGCCAUGCAGGUGAGGUUCAUAAGGCCUCUGUUUAUAAAAGCUUUAAUAGAAGGUCGGCUGGUAGGCCGAGUUAUGAUAGACGGCGGUGCUAUGGUCAAUGUGAUGCCCACUUCUUUUUUCAAGAAGUUGGGCAAAGACGAAGAUGAAUUAAAGCCCAUCGAUUCAAUCAUGACCGAUUUUACAGGAAACGGUCAACAAGCUCGAGGGGUGCUCACCACCGAACUCACGGUGGGUUCAAAAACUUUAAAAACGGCGUUCUUCGUAGUGGAUGCAGACAGCCACUACAACUUGCUAUUGGGAAGAGAUUGGAUACACUCAAAUGAGUGUGUACCCUCUACACUCCACGAAAAAUUGUUCCAAUGGAUAGGAGACAAGGUAGAAGAAGUCCGGGCCGAAGGAUGGCCUCAAAUGCUAGAUGUCAACACGGAAGACAUCGGCCACAUCAAUUGGGCCGAUGCUGAUCCAGAUCAGAUUUCAUUCGUAAAAGUAACGGAAGAGGGGAUUCAAUUAAUUCUCUCAAAAGAUAUCAACACUAUGUGGCUAAUGAAGAGCCACCUAGAUGGUUAAAAUGGAGUCCCAAAAAUCGGGAAUAGAGGCUUGGCACAAGCCUCAACAAGAUGAGCCGAUCAACAAGAUCGGCUAUGAGGAUGAUUCGGCUUCCAAAGCCGAUGUGUUAGUACCUGAUAAUUCGGCCAAUAAGGCCGAGGAAGUCAUAAAAGACUCGGUUCAUAAAGCUAAGAAUGAAGGUCAAGUGAAAUCGGCCAUGAAGACCGACAAAUCAUAUGAGAUGAAUAGGCAAACAGCGAGAAUGGAGCUAGAAGAAUCGCCUAUUAAAGCCGACGAGAAAAAGCUAGAGACCCAGGACUUGUUGAUAGAGUAAAUCUAGGGUCUUGUAAAGACAACAAGCCAACGUUUAUAAGUUCCAAGCUGUCGGCUCAACAACAGGAAGAAUUGAAGAAGCUGUUAAAGGAGUACAAGGAUUGCUUCGCCUGGAGCUAUGAAGAAAUGCCAGGUUUAAGCCGAGAGAUUGUAGAGCAUCGGCUGCCUAUAAAAAAAGGGUUUAAACCUUUUAAACAACCGGCUCGUAGGUUUGAGCCGAGUAUUGUACUACAAAUUAAAAAUGAAAUUGAAAAUCUUUUAAAGGUCGGAUUUAUUAGAGCGGCCCGUUAUGUUGAUUAGGUGUCUAAUAUAGUUCCAGUACGUAAAAAGAAUGGCAAACUUAGAGUUUGUAUCGAUUUUAGAAACUUGAAUUUAGCUAUACCUAAAGACGAAUAUCCAAUGCCAAUAGCCGAUAUGGUAGUAGAUUCGGCUGCUGGUAAUGAAAUUUUGUCCUUUAUGGAUGGACAUGCUGGUUAUAAUCAAAUUUAUAUUGCUAAAGAAGAUGUGGCUAAAACGGCUUUUAGAUGCCCCGGUUCAAUUGGAACCUUUGAAUGGGUUGUUAUGUCGUUCGGCUUAAAGAAUGCCGUAGCUACUUACCAAAGAGCCAUGAAUUUUAUUUUUCAUGAUUUAAUCGGCAAAAUGUUGGAAGUAUAUAUCGAUGAUAUAGUUAUCAAAUCCAAGUCACAAGCCGAACAUUGGAUCGAUUUAAAGCUCGCUUUUGAGAGAAUGAGAAAAUAUAAUUUAAAAUUGAACCCUUUGAAAUGCGCCUUUGGAGUUUCUGCAGGAAAUUUCUUGGGAUUUUUGGUGCAUAAGAAAGGGAUUGAAAUUGAUAAAAAUAAAGCGAGAGCAAUAUUAGAGUUACCGCCACCCAAGUGCAAAAAGAAACUACAGAGUUUGUUGGGGAAGAUUAAUUAUCUUCGGCGGUUUAUAUCUAAUUUAGCCGGAAGAAUCGGGGUUUUUACUCCGUUACUUCGGCUGAAAGAUAAAGAAGAAUUCGUUUGGGCAGAGGAACAGCAAGANUUACUUCGGCUGAAAGAUAAAGAAGAAUUCGUUUGGGCAGAGGAACAGCAAGAGGCAUUAGAAAAUAUAAAAAGAUAUUUAUCAAAUCCUCCAGUACUGGUACCUCCAAAGCCGAAUCAGCCGAUGAAGUUAUAUAUAUCGGCUACAGAUGAAAAUUUGGGAUGUUUGCUGGCUCAAGAAAAUGAAAAGAAGGAAGAACAGGCCAUUUAUUGCCUAAGCCGACGUCUGUUAGAUACCGAAAAACGGUACUCAGCUAUAGAAAAAUUAUGUUUGGCUUUAUAUUAUUCAUGCACAAAAUUGAGAUAUUACAUUUUAUCAGCUGAAGUAUCGGUAAUAUGCAAGACCGAUUUGAUAAAAUAUAUGUUAUCCAAACCAGUGCUACGAGGACGUAUUGGGAAAUGGAUAUUAGCUUUAUCUGAGUUUUCCCUUAAUUAUGUUCCUGCCAAAGCUAUCAAAGGCCAAGCUAUAGCUGAUUUUUUGGCCGAUCACCCAUGUGCAGAAAUCGAGGAGCCGAAACAGAAUGUAAUCGGCUCUCAACCUUGGGUGUUGUACUUUGAUGGUUCAAAACAACUGAAUCUGCAGGAGCAGGAGUAGUGAUACAGUCUCCUGAAGGUCAUGUUUGUCAAUUUGCAUUUGAAUUAGAUUUCGGUUGCUCUAACAACCAAGCCGAAUAUGAAGUCUUGAUAAUCGGCCUUGAAAUAUUGCAAGAAUUAAAAACAAAGUCAGUCAAAGUCAUCGGUGAUUCACAGUUAAUAUUCAAACAGGUUAACGGGGAAUACCGAUGUGAGAAUCCGAAUUUACAAAAUUACUUGAGGAAGACAUUAGAAUUAUUAUGCAAUUUCGGAGAAGUCGAUUUCAAACAUUUGGGCAGACAGGAAAACGAAAAGGCAAACGAAUUGGCCCAAUCGGCUUCAGGAUACAAAGAGCCGAAGUCAGAGUCAAUAGUAAUACAGAGGAGAUUGCUACCUUCGGUUCAUAUACGAGAACCGAUCAUAGCUCCUGUAGAAGUAAAAGAUGAUUGGAGGAAGUCGUUGAUCAAAUAUUUGGAGGAUCCUAAUAUCAGGGUCGAUUAUAAUAUUCGAAGAAGAGCUCUCGGCUACUGUUUGCUAGAUGGUCAACUAUACAAAAGAACAGCCGAAGAAGUUCUAUUGAAAUGUUUAGGGCCGGAAGAAGCUCUACUAGUAAUGGGAGAAACACAUGAGGGAAUAUGUGGAACCCAUCUGGCAGGAAAAAAGUUAAGAUGGACAAUUCGGCACCUAGGAUAUUAUUGGCCGACUAGGCAUCAAGACUGCAUAGAGUAUGCUAAAGGUUGCCAAGAAUGUCAAUUUCAUGGUUCAAUACAGAGGGUUCCUGCCUCUGAGAUGUACGCCAUAAUUAAACCAUGGCCUUUCCGAGGAUGGGCCAUGGAUUUAAUCGGAGAAAUUCAGCCGAAUUCCUCGGCUGGUCACAAGUUUCUGAUAGUAGCCAUCAAUUAUUUUACUAAAUGAGUGGAAGCCAGACUUACUCGAUUGGUCACUCAAAAGAAAAUUAUUGAUUUUGUUGAAGAUCAGAUAAUUCAUCGGUUUGGAAUUCCUGAGACCGUCACAACCGACCAAGGGACAAUGUUCACGGGGGGACAGUUUGUUCGGUUCAUCGAGUCUCGAAAGAAAAAGCUGCUGCAUUCAUCUCCUUAUUAUGCUCAAGCGAAUGGGCAGGUAGAAGCAGCAAAUAAGAUAAUUAUCAACCUUAUGAAGCGACAUAUUGGAAAGUACCCGAGAAAGUGGAAUGAAAAACUUUACGAAGUAUUAUGGGCAUGCCGAACCUCAAUAAAAACGGCAACAGGGAUGACACCAUUCCAAUUAGUUUAUGGCCAUGAGGCCGUAAUUCCAGCUGAGAUAACAGUUCCUUCUUUAAGAAUAGAGAAACAAAAAGACCUCUCGGCUAAUGAAUAUAUUGAUCUAAUGAAAGAUCAAGCAGAGGAGAUAAUAGAUACUCGGUUGAUAGCUUUAGACAAUAUACAAGCAUACCAAAGCCGAGUACGUAAUGCAUAUAAUAAGAAAGUUCGACUGAAGGCGUUUGUUGUCGGUGAUUUAGUACUUCGGCUGAUUUUUUCAAUCGGUCAAAAAGACCGAACGUAUGGGAAGUGGUCCCCAAAUUGGGAAGGACCAUUCCAGAUUAGCCGAAUCACAAGAGGAAAUGUAUAUUUUUUGCAAAACAGAGAUAAGUCAGAAAGUGAAAAACCAAUCAACGAAAAAUAUUUAAAGAAAUAUUACCCAUCCAUGUGGGAGCACAAUUAAAAUCAGAGUUAGAAUAUUACAAGCCGAAUCAGGACAAUAAGUCUUUGAGUUGAUUCCAUUCGGUUAUGAGAUUGGCUUGGGCGGUCUCAGCAGCUUUCCUUCGGCGCUUCAUCCAAAUGAUGGACUUUGUAAAGUUGAGAAAGCUCCUCUUUAAGCCUUAUCCCUUCUUCCUUUUUGGACUUCAGUAAAUCUUUUAGUUGAAGUCGGCGCUCAGAGGUUUGUGCAAGAGUAGAUUCGGCGGCGGCUAAUUCUUCUUUAAGAGAAGAAAUCUGUUGUUGUAAAGCCGAUUCUUGAUCAGCCAAUUCCUUAUCCUCUUGAUGCACUUAGGCGGAGCUGCUAUAUCAGGGAUAUUCUUUUUAAAAUGAUCAACACGAUGAAAAUGUUGAUCUAAAGCUACAAGUUCGGCGCCCAAAGAUCGCUGCCGAGCCAGAAAAGAUGAAAGUUGAAGUGAUAAGGUUGCUACAAAACAUUUUAUGCCGGGAGUAAUAUCUGAUUGAUCGGCCAAAUCAAGUAAAAGGGCAUAUAGCCGAUCAAAUCAUUCUGGAUUCUGAGCUAAACCAGGAAUACCAAUGCUAUAGAUUUUAAGGAAUUCAUCGAACUUAUUCUGCGUGUCCGAUGAAAUGGUAAUGGUCGAAGAAUCAUCCCCUUCAUUGGAGCUGGGACUUGAAAUCAAAAAAGAAUGAAGAAUCGCAGAUAAAGAAUCAUCAGCAAUAGGGGAAGCAACUCCCUGGGGCGAGCGGGGAGGAAUAGUGCUGGUGUCUUCGGAAAUUCGCCCCAGAGGUAUGUUUAUCUGUUUAUCCCCUGUAGUUGAUGUCGGGGCAGGAGCAGAAAGAGGUGAUGCAACCUCACUGGGUAACGGUGUCGUGCUCGCCGUUUCAACAGAUUUCUUCUUCUUUUCCAUCCCUUUCUUUUUCUCGAGACGGGCUUGUCACGCCCCGGGACCCAGCGGAAGCCCGCCCGGCACGUGCUCAGACCCGCCAUACGUCUAAAACAUAUAAGGCGUCUAAAUACAACAAUAAUAAAGGCAAUAAUAAAAGACAUCUAGGAGUAUCAGAGCAUAAUAAAUGUCUAAAUGCUACAACAAGGGAUAAGGAUAAAACUGUAAAUUCACUAAAUAAGACAUAAAGUGAUACAAGGAAAACCCAGAUACAAGUGCUAUAGGUAGAUACAUAGGUGGUCUCUAUACAUGGAUACAAAAACCUCUCACUCUCUCAACUACAAAAAGAAAGAGUAAACCACCUAAGCAAAAUACCGCUCCUCACUAGCUAGCUAAGUAAUCUCCUUGCCGCGAUCCCGUGCCUCCGCCGGUGCCGAAGGCUCUGAAAAGUAAACCAUAAAACAGGGGCAUGAGAACUAUAAAAUAAUAGUCCCCAGUGGGCAAUUACUGACUUCAGUGAAUGCACCACAAGGCCCAAAGCUACUAAGGAUGUCAGUGACUAUAAAAGUAGAAAAGCGAAAGGGAAGUAAAAAUGUAACUUACUACAAUAUGAUAUCUCUACUUAGCAUAAAUAGUAUAAGUAGGAAAGCAACUAUGCAUGAAGUAAAAGUCUCCAACUAUCAUAAUGUUCACAAUGCGAAAUUGUUAAGUUCCGUUGUUUACUAUUCUAGUCAAUGUCCAAGUAAUACUCUAAGUCAUCAUCUGUCCACAUGUCAUAGUGAAUACUCAAGUCAAAUCUGAAGAGACCCGCCCGAAGGCUGUCUAGUGCCCUCUGAGACCCCACCCGUAGGCUCCUAGCCGUCCUAGAGCCUGAUGGCCCCGUGGUAGUCAUCCACCCACCCCUAAGAGAUGAGCCUGGCCCACGCAAUCCACUUCGCGCCCCCCCAAUUCCGCACGCGAAUGUAUGAAUCGCGGAUGGCUAUCUCCGGAGGCCGCUGUAGGAGCGGACCACUCACAACGCACGGCGAAUGAGCAUAAUGGCAAGUAGUCAGAACGAUCUGUCAACAAAAGUCCCAAGUCCCAUUCAUGUAAUAACCAUGGAAUGUCAAAUAUCUCAACGGCCUUAUCCUAAUGUUAUCAUUUCUAACAUGGAAUGUAGCGGAUAAUUCAGUGGCCUAUCAAUAUGUCUCUAAUGUUGCAUUUCAUAAGUUUACUAGUUUCAAAGUGUGCCCCUUUAUGCACGAGCCUUAUUCUCUAAUGUCAAGAUUAUGGCAACUAAAGUGCCAAAAUGUACAUAUUCGAAGUCAAUAAUGCCUCAUAGAUGAUGUAUUUUCCACUUUGCAAGUGAUAAACCUUUUUCCGAGUGCCAUGUCAUUCUACUCAUAUACUGCUCUAGCUAGUAAUUAGUAGAAAUUUUCAUAAUACAGCAAGCAUCAUUUUAAGUGCUCUAAAAUUCAUAAUAAAUUUCAUUUUAGUAUAGAAACUGGAAUUAAAAAUAUUUAUUAUCAUACAAGUAGGAAAGGACAUCGGGGCAUUUCGCCCCAUUUUCACUGAAGCCAAACGCCAACGAUGACAACUAAAACAUCGUCGGUUCCAACGAGGUGUCCUCUAGUCUCCUAAUACCCUAAGGAGUGAAACUGAAGAGUUACGUACCAUCGGGGUGAAACAUCCAAGGUUAAACCAUAACUCAACGUACAAGAAAAGGGGCAAAACUCACCUUGUAGGUGAAAUCUUCUCUCAAUCUCCCAAUGAGAGUGAAAACCGCUUCAAGAAAUCCAACCUCACAUGGAAGCCUCUAAUCCACCCAAACUAGCUCCAAAGAGCCCUAGAUUCAAAAUGCCCAAUUUAAGCCCUAAAACCUCAUUCUAUGGUUUCAUCACAAAGAAGCCAAUAAAAGUCUAAUUUAGAGGAAGAGGAUGAGCUACUAACCUUUAAGAAGCCUCAAACAAGGUUCAAAAUCCUCCAAGAGUGGAGAUCUCCCUCUCCCCAAGCUCCAAGAUCAAGCUCCAAUGGUGGAAAAGCUUCCAAUACGCAAAAGAAGCAAAAAGGAAGGUUUAAUCCACCAAAAUCCAAGCUAAAAAGGGAUGAAAUCCAAAGAGAUGGUGAGGAGGGGUGCCCUACCUUCUCCUCCCUGUGAUCUGAGCUCAAGAGGUGCCCUAAGGGGCGUGGGUGCUAAAUAGAUAGGCUACAAACGCGAAAAACCCCCUGUAGUUCGGACUGCACGAAAACUGCCUCCUUGUACCGGUACACGGGCUCUUGUACCGGUACAAGGCCGACGAAAUUGCAAACCGGAGGCUCGGGUUGCUUGGUCUGCGGCUCUGUACCGGUACAAGCCUGAUGGCUGUACCGGUACAACCAUCAACCUUGUACCGGUACAAGGCCAGUCUUGUUCCGGUACAAGCUCUGCUGCAGGCUACCCGAGAGCUGACCAAGGUCCAAUCUUUUUGGGCUUUUGGCACCAGCUUAAAACCACAAUUCUCGGGAUGCGAGCCAUAGGUCGGAACACUGUCUACGACCUUCCAGAAAGUCUGAAAAAGCUCGACACACUGAUCAAACACUCGAACCUCGCAAUUUGCAAAGGUCCAGUGUGUUACAGGGCUUCCCUGCGAAGCUGCCGUUCCAUCUGCAUCUUCGAAUAAUGAGCAAAAGGGGCUCGUUCAGGAGAAGACUGUAGUUUAAAAGAGAAUAAUAAAUAAUUAAGAAAUGUUCUUUUCGUACAACUAAUUAAUUUGGCUCACCCCGAUAUCAAUUGUUUCGGGUGGAACAGAGGUAGCCAAAGAGGGUGUAGUAGCUUCUUUCGAUGGAAUGCCAGCCGAAGGAACAUCUUCGGCUCUGUCUUUAGAAACAUCAGCCGAAGGGGUAUUUUCGGCUCGUUGGAAUUUUCUUUUUGCAACUGAUUUACGCCGUUUCGAAAUCGGCGGAGAAAUAACUUGUACAGUCUCAGUCGGUCUCUUAUUUGAAGUUGGAACCGAUAAAGGAGUGGGCAUAGACUGACAAUGGAAAUAAAAUGAGUAUUACAAACAUCAAAGUAGAAAGAACAGAAGAGGAUCAGAUUAGAAAACAUUAUAGAAGAAGGAGGUGGAGUUUCAGCAGCCUCUUCUGCCUUUUCCGAUUUUUCGUCUGAUAUGGAUGGCUCGGCAGGGCCCUCCGAUUGAGUCUUACUUGGGAAAGGAGCUACAAAUUAAAAAAAAAAAAAGAGAGAAGAAAUGAGUAGCAGUAAUUAUAAGCAUGAAGUCAUUUUCAAAAGGAAUAUCGUACUAAGAGGAUGACGAGUCUUGCGAUGUGCACUCGAGAUAAUGGGAGCAAAGGUUUUCUUGAGGAAGAUAUCCCAAUUUACAGCAUAGCGAAAACCUAAUAUUCCGAUAUGAUUGGUCCUGAAGCUGACCAAUUUGAAAAAUCGCCGCAGAUGGUUUCCUAUAGCCGAAAUCUGAUCGGCGUCGGCUAUGCUUUUGGUAGGCGGGCGAUGAGUGGCAGUAUUAGACGUGAAAAAUUCGGCCGGAGCAGGAAUGGCCUGUGUAAAACCAAAUUGGCGCGCCACAAACUGUGGAGAGUAAACCUCGGUACUGGGUAAUAACUUCGAGCAUGAUUUCAAGCCGAUGUGCAAGUCCCGAGGAGCUAAAAAAGAAUACCAAACAUCAGAAUACUCGCCAGCACGAGAAGAGGCGAGUUCACCCUGAAGUGAUUCAUAUCUGGCCAAAAACCAAGGGGGGCCAGUGACUCGAUCAGCAAAAGGAGACCAAUAGAUAAGAAAGUGAGGGCUUGAAUCAUAAAAAAUAGAAAAAUAAGUGAGGAAGUCCAGAGGUUGCCCAGGUGUAAAUGGUGGAGGACAGCCGAGAGCAAGUCCAUAGGAGUCAAAGCGAGCAGCCGAGCUCAAAUCUAAGGGUUCUCGGCACAACCUACUGAAAUAAAUUUGUAAAAACAUCUGCAAAAACCAAAAAACGGCGCAACCCGAGCUAAUGGUGACAUCAUUGUCAUUGGGUGACGGCCUAAUAGAGUCAAAAAUUUCUCUGUAAACAAAAGUGAGAAAAUAGGGCCCCAAGGCCAAUUUAUCGUCGUUAGAUAAACCAACGGCGAUAGAAACAAAAUCUCGGUUAAUUUUCUGCGAACGAGUGCAGAAAAGAUUAUGACAUAACCAAUACAGAAGGAAUGCCGUAUGUUCCUUCUUAGUGACCGAAGCAGGAGAUUCACCUGCAAAUUUACGAAGAAAUUUGGAGUAAGCCAAAUCAUUGAGAUCAAGAUUGGCCUCAAAAUCGGAUACACCAUCAGGGUUAUAAGCCAUGGAAAGGGUGAUACCAUGAGGGCGUAGGCCAACAAUGGCGGCGACAUCAAAAAGAGUUGGGGUGAGAGGGCUGCCUCUAAAAAGAAAAAUGUUAGAAACAGGGGACCAGAAACAAAGGGCGGAAGCCAAAAGAAGGAAAUCGGCUGAAGGAGGUUUUCGGGAUAGCUGGAUGGCUUCAUAGGCUAGUUUCUCGCCAUAAAUCGCUGUGAGUAGCUUGUACACGAUCCAACCAAGCCAAAUAGGCUUCUGAGGUACUAGGCCAAGUUCGAAGACUUCUUCCUGUCGAAGCCGAAGGAUACCAUGAAUGAAGAUGAAUAUUUUCAACCAUCAAAGGAAGACCUUCAUUAGAAAACGGGAAAUCAUCGGCAGACGGGUCUGCGGUAAAUGAGGGACCCAAGAUAAACCUGGCAGGGUCUGAAUCAAGAUAUGGCCUAAGCAGAGUAUAGUCCAAUGAAGGACGAGUAGGCAAUGGCGGAAGAGGCGCCAUUCUUCGAAGCAAAAGAAAAUAAAGAAGAUGCCUGGAAAACGAAGAAGAAAUAAAAGAGACAAAAGGUAAAAGCUUGGGAAUAGAAGAGACAAAAACGUAAAAGCUUGGAGAAGAAGAAAGGCCGUAGAAUCGAACCGUCACAUCGAAGCGAGUUUCGAGGUCGGCUUUAAUGAUGAUUAAACGGCGGUAAUUAAGAUGACCUAAUUAAUGUCGCGUAUGAGACAAAAACAGAGAAUGUGAUCAAGGCCGUAAAAGAGAGAAUCAGCGGCCAAAAUUAAAUCGUACAAAAGAUUGUGCUACGGAUUGUUGCAGAUUAUGUCAGAGAAUUUGAAUUCGAUUGGACCGAGAAAUACGCCUCGGAUCAAGCCCGCUUUCGGCAACAGAAAAUUGUUUGAGACGAAAAAGUAACGCCAGCUACCGAAGCAUCACUUCGAAAACUGGCGAGGGGGCAAUUGUUGAGCCAGUUAGGCGCGAACAGCUGGCAUACCGGGUCCAUAUCCGUAAGACGGCUAAAACGGUAGACCUAGAGUACACCGGACACAUACAAGCCGCACUGGACCGAGGAGUUAUAACAACCGCAAGCAGUUACGAGCGGUUCCGAUCGGCCGAAGGUGGUCCUACAAAUCAGGAGAUACUGGCUGAUCGUGCAAGAGCAAUAACUGACGCAAAGGCGGUUCUAUAAAUAGGCAUACGAUACCCCAAAAAGGGGUCUUCGCCCCUGCGCACAAAAAAUCACCUUUAUUUUUCUGCAUCUUUCUAUUCUCGCAUUUACUGCUUUUCUUAGAAGUAGUUCCUGUAAUUUUCCAUACUCGGAGUCUGUCUGCCCUACGGGCAUCACUCCCCUGUUCCCAUACUUUGAGUCUGUCUGCCCUACGGGCAUCACUCCCCUGCUUGUGUACUUUUUUCUUUUGCUAUUCAAUAGAAAAUCAUCAUCGGCUCUUCCUGCCGAUCAGAUCACAAGUUAUUUGGCCAUUCGGCUCGUUUCUUAGUCGAAUUUUGGGCUUCCCCUCUCCAUUCAGCUCAUCCUGCCGAAGCGAAUUUACUACGGAGGUUUUCGAACCCGGCUGAUUCGAUCCCUUAUCGGCCUAAUCGCUUGAUCCUCUGUGGGCGCAUAUUUCGAGGGUCAUAAUCCGCAGCCGUCUCGCAUCCCGAUGAUCUUCUCGAGGAGAAUUAUUGACCGGGUCAAGGGUCGGGACGUUCGGCACCCAACAAUAUGUAAUUAUCUCUUAGAUAUUUAAAGUUGAGAAAUUUUAUUUGUACACUCUAAAACGGAAUGUAGACUGUACAACCCGUAUCCUAAGUUGACAAAAACCUAACAAAUCGUUUUUAGUAUAAAUGAAAAAUAGGAAUAUAUAAAAUAUUUAAGAAAAUUUGAGAGAUAUAUAAGUAAUUAUCUCUAAAAUAUUUAAAGUUAGAAAAAUUCUAUUUAUACACCCAAAAAUAAUUUUUAGUAAAAGUAAAAAAAAAUAUUGAUGUGAUAAGUGAAAAAUUAAUGGUUUUUAAAUGGAUUGCAUGCCAGAUGUACCAAUCAACGGCUGACGGAUCGGCCAGUUUUAAUCCGACGGUGUCCUGAGCACCGAUUUGGAACGCGUAGCACACGUGAGAAAACUCUCGUUUGUGGGAAGGGAAAGUGGCUGGCGGUAGGCGAAAGUUAUCAAAUCGAUCGAUUUGUUGAAGCGAUCGCACGCCAUUAACAACAAGUUUCAAAAUAAUAAUAAUAAUAAUAAUAAUAACAAUAAAAGUAUAAUAUAAAAUAAAAAAAAAUCACAGCCCAAACCCUAAGAGAGAGAAAGAGAGAAAGAAAGGACCCCUUCCUUUCCCCCUCUCUCCUCUCUCUCUCUAUCUCUCUCCCCAUCUCGCGAUCUCGAUCUCGAUCUCUCGAUCGAUCUCGUUCGCGAUCGGGGCGAUGCGGAAGGGAAGGCCAGCCGCCGCCGCCGAACGGCGGUCCGGACAGCGGGGCGGCGCGGGGCGGAGACGGAGGCCGGUUCCGCGGCGUGCGGCGCGGCCGUGGGGCCGCUUUGCGCGGAAAUCCGCACCCGGCGCGCAAGGCGCGCGUGUGGCUGCGCACCUCGACUCCGCGAGGAGCCCGCGCGCGCUACGACGCCGCCGCCCCGCGCCCUUCCGCGCCCCAAGGCCAAGACCACUUCCCACACUCCGCCUCCUCCCACCACCGACAACAACACAACGCGCCUCUCCCGCCUCCCCUCUCCGCCGCCGCCCUCCUUCUCCUUCCCCUUCCCCACCACCACCACAUUCGCCGCCGCUCCACCGGCCCGCCACCAGCAGCCUCAGCUCCACCGUCGAGUCUUCAGCGGCCCCGCGCCCGCCGCCGCCGCCGCGGCGGCGGCCCGGCACCCCCCCCGCCUCCGCCGCCGCCGCCGCCUUUGAUCAGGACGACCUCCGCAGCGACUGCGGAUCCUCCUCCUCCGUCGUCGACGACGACGGUGGCGAUGUCGCCUCCGCCUACCGGAUCCACCCUUCCCCCUCCCCUUGCCCCCCGCUCUCUUUCGAUCUCAACGCCGUCCCCCUCCCCGACGACGACGACGACUCCCCCAUCACCGCGCUCCGCCUCUGAUGCUGACGCAAGGGAAGGGAAGCAAUAAUGGUUCCUUUUCUUAUCACUCCCUCUCUCUCUCUCUCUCUCUCUCUCUCUCUCUCUACCCUUUAGUUUUGGGAUCUCUCCUAUAUGCUGUUGAUUCGGAAUAUAUGAAAGAAAGAUAAUUGUUGGAGUGCAUAUUGGGUUGGGCUUGUGUGAGAAUUAUAAGGGUUCGGACCGGAUCUUGUGGGAUCUGGUGGGGUUUCUCUGGUCUCAGUGUGUUGUACAAAAUGAAAAUCUAUCUAAUUUGAUGAGCGAGCAAAAUGAAGCUAAAAAUAACUAACGUUGGCUCCUAAAUGCUGGAUUUCUCUUGGUGAUUACCAAAUUUUGUUUAUUCAUGUUGCAUUUUUGGGAAGAAUCUUUGAUUCUUUAGGAAAUAGAUGUAUGCUGGUAUAUUCGCUUAAGGGGAGUUGACGGAAAGUAUUAGGGAGCUUCGUAAGAGCAGGUUCAUAUCCUCCAUCAAUUUGAUGUUCGAGGUUGUCGUUUAGGCUUUUUCCCUGGUAGUUUGUUUUUGAAGGUGAUGUAAAAGUUUAACCGAGAAUCUGAAUUGCCAGAAACAGGAAGUAUUUGGAUAUUGUAAGUUUGUUGUCAUAUUUGUUAGUUAACUUGCACACUUUAUGGCUUUCAGAUUUUUUGGAAGGCUUUUGAGCCGCGUGUGAUAUUUCUUUACAUCUAAAGGGAAUAAGGAUCUCUGAUGCAAGAAACUUUUAAUUUAUAAGGAAUGCUUAUCAAAAGAAGAAGAAUCACGUGUGGGUCAUAAUUUAGAAGUUUGUGAUAUUGGCUCAAUUUCCUUACACUGUACUUUUGGGUAAGGAAAAAAAUCUUCUAUAUUUUCUCUUCUUUACCAGGCCUCUAGGCUCUAGCUUGGAGAGUUGAUUGCGUUUCAUUCGUACUACUUAUUCGCGAAAAACUGGUGCAUGCAUGUGUAUAUGCAAUCGCAUAUGAAGUGGUCACUUGUUAUGAUCUACGUGCUACAUACGGAGCAAUUCAAGUAAGAACAUACUCUGAUGCAAUUUAGAUAGGCUUAAGUAGCUUUAGUGUAAUAUCUUAAUGAAUAGGUACUCAAAUACUUGGAAAUCUAACUUUAUAUAAUGAAUUUCAUUAACAUAUUUUGACUGUUCGGUAUUUUGUAUAUGGUACUUCCGUACUUGGAUCUUUAUAAUGUUGUAAAGCUCUGACAUUAAGAUUAAUUACGCCAUGAAAAGCUCUAUUCUUAUCUUUUCCUUUUCAAUUCUCCCAUGUGCUUAUUUUUAUUAACCAUGUUUCCUAUAUUUUACUCUAUCUAAAAUAUUUAUUGUAAUUCAUUUGAUGCGAAUGUGCACCCACUACCGCAUAGGCAUACCCACUACCCUGGCCGCCCACUAUCCGUUUCUGACUGUAUAAAUGUCGUAUAGUAAUAUUUAGAAUGGUCAUUCAUAGCAGAUAUAUAGUGGUAACAUUGGGAAUUUCAUUGAAUAAGCUCCAGAUUCCUGCUAUACUUGGUGUUGCCGGUUGUUUACCGACUGCAAGAGCACACACGCUUCAAUUAAUGAAUUUUCCCUCCCGUUGAUGCUCUCAAACUAAUAUUUUUACUAGCUUCUUUUAUUCAAAUAUGCUUAAUUUUGUAUAUGAUAUUUCCAUAUAGUCUGGUUUGUUAAUCUCUCGUCCGAUUCUUAUUUUCAAAUAAGCUUCCGUAUAUUGUAACUUUUUUGAGAUUAUAUGUAUUGGUGGCUCACACAAUUAAGGAAAAAUUGUCAUUUGUUUCCUCUCAGUUUGUCAUUAAUAUCAUCUUGAUAAGUUGAACUUUGUUGCAAACACCAAAAUUUAUAUCAUCUUGUGUUGCACCUUGCUACCUUGUUUUUAGGGAUUGUGUGGUGAUUUCACUUAUCCACUUCAUUUUACUUUCUUCACCACUGGAAGGGCUUCAGAACUAUAUGACUUGACGGCAUUUGCUUGCUGUAGUGAUGUAUUUUAAAAUUUCUAAACAAUGGCAAUUUUCUAUGUGUUCUCAUAUAUUGAAUUUCAUCAUUAACAGGUUCCUUAUUUCUGAUCUGUAUGAGUGAAAGUUUGUUGCAAUUACCCUUGACUCUUAUAAAAUAAUAUAAUAACUGGUUAUAAGAAGUUAAAAUUAUGCUUCUAACUUUAUGAUUCUCUAAGUUUUACCUUAUAUAUAGAGCUGAUAUUGUAAAACAAUCUGGUCGUAUCAACUUAAGCUUUGUGAGUUUUAAAAUUUGUAACUGUCCAAGUUCUUGUGUUUUGUACUGUAGUGAAUGGCUGCUUAAACUUCAAUAUUAUUUAAUAGUUUUCUCUAAUUUGUGCUUACUGUUCAUGGGGAAACUGCAGUUAGAUAGUCAACAGUCUGUUGUUGAUCCACUUGUAUCUUAAUUAUACCGUCUUAUUAUGAAUGAAACAAAGUUUUGCUCUGCUUCUUACUUCAUUAGAGGAAACAUCCUUUAUGUAAGGAUUUGGUGCCAACUCUGGCAUUUUCGAUUUAUAUCAAGGAAUAAGUUGUAGGGAAAACUUAAUUGAAUUUGUAAGUGUAUAUGGUUAUGAAAGUUAUUAAACUAAGUUGCUUUUUAAUGUAGCAUUUUUGUUGCAUCAUGGUUCUCUUAAUAUACUUGACAAGCUCUGUCAUCUUUGCUUAGUGUUUUGAUUCUUGUGAACAGUAAAAACUGUUCAAGUGGUCCUUAUACACUAUGGUUAUUGUAAUGCAAUCUAUUCGAUCCUACAAACACAUUGGUUUCUCAGCUUAUCCACUCUGCCGUAUUGUCUUCUCUGGAUCAUCAGCUUUUCAAAAUCUCGUCACUUAUAUUAGAGAUUUCUGAUGGCAAGAGUACCCAAGGUUUGCAUUGAUACAUAUAUAGGCAUGCUCAGGGAGUAACCUGCUAAAAUAAAGAAUUGGAGCAAAUUGCAACUCAUCAAAGGGAUAACCAAUGCAUUUUAGCCCAUAUUACUCGUUUGUUCAUCUUAGUGAUCCAUGUAUUUUUUUCGCUAAUCUGACAUAGUAGUGCUUGGCUAUUCUUUUAAAUCACUUCUACUCUUGCAUUAUGCUAUGCUUUUCUCCACAUGUUGUCGUCCUUGCCUUAUGCAAGGAAUCUCUGUAGUUAUACUGAAAUCCUUUUUAAAGAACAUACUAGAACUUCUAGAAACUAUGUUAAGGAUGGCUGACGGUUUGGAUUUAGGUGGGAUGGGAAUAAUACAUGGAGUAAUUGGGUUCUAAAUUGAGUCCCUAAAGCAGAUCAUGGGAUGGGAAUGCGGAAUGGCACCUCAACUCUUCAUGCUUUUUAGGCAUAAAUAAAACGAUUGGUUUAAAUUCAUUCUGCUAUCCUAAUAUCCAAUACAUAUUAACAUGCUGUUCCCUGAAUAGUUAUAAUUUAUAAUGUAUAUGCAUACAUCAUUCUGUUGCUUGUAGGGUAGUAAAAUUGUAGAAAAAUUUUGCUUCAAUAAGGGCACAGCUGGUGUUGGACUUGAUAUCCUGCAUGGGGUGGUUAUAGGGAGUGGCACCCCCAAUCAGACCUGCUCUGUUUCUAGUGUUGGACAAUGUUUUUCUUUUUUUUUCUUUUUUUUGUAUGUGUGUAUACUAAAAAACCUUGCCCUUUGGAGUUGAAAUGAUUCUUGUUUAUAUCAUAAAUUACUAUGAUAGGUAAAUAGUUAUGACAAUGUGAUAUGCUACAACUUGUAAGUGUUAAUUUCUUUGGUAUCUAGCUGCCUUAUUGUUUCAUUUAUCCAUUAUUGGCUGUUUGUAUUGUUUCAUGAAGUUGUGUCUCAUUUUUCACUCGUAUUAUUUAAAAUGAUUUUGAAGAUUUCUCAAAAUCAGGGAUACAUUUUUUCGUUUCGGAGUAAUCAUUUCCCCUAUGAUGCUUCUUAUGAUUAACAAUGUUUCCAUUCAUUUUUGAAUCUGUGAUAUGAACACCAGGACUUUAUUUACCAUCGAACAGUAUUAUUGUGCUUGUAAUGCAACAAAUAUCGAUUGUAAAUAGAUCUCAUCUAUUUUUUUUGAUUCGGUGCCAACUCUGGCAUUUUCGAUGCUCGUCUAUUUUUUUUGCCUAUCUAAAAUAGAUCUCAUCUUCGAGAGCUUGAUCAUCUUCUCAACAAAAUGUCCAUUCUUACCAGAAUUUCUGUUUUACGCAAAUAUGGUUUUCUGGUAAUUGGAUUUAUUUUUCAUCACGGGAAAAUUUUCCUUAUUGCAGAGUGGAUGAAAUUUCGGUUGCUUCAUUUGGCUUCUUUUCUGGAUCAAAGCUGUAUGGGAGUGCGUCUCCAUUUAUCAUGAGUCAAUUAGUGUCAUUAUGUUUCAUACUCCAUCUCAGGAGCCAUUAUUAGGUCUUACUCCUUUGCUGCAUUAGUCACUCCCUCAUUUAGUUUGGAAUUUUUGUUUUUUUUGGUUUCUAAUUUAGAAGAAAUAUUAAGAGUUUCUUCUUUAUUUCAUAAUAAUAUAGUCUCUUAAGUUUUAGUUGGACAUCACUACUGAGAUGGCUGAUAACGGUUUCAUAAAUGGUAGUGAAAAUUUGUCAUACUUUUUGUUUAUCAUGCCAACCAUGCUUAAUCGAGUAACCAUCUGGCCCUUGCAGCUUUUAAGUAUCUAUCAAGUAUCUAAGUAUCUAUAUCUUCUAUGCGUUUUCAUGGAGACUUAGAUUUUGUUGGUUUGCUACCAAUUAAAGAUCAUUUAUUCAUGGAUAUGCGAGCUUGGAAGUUGCUAUCUAUAGCCCUCGACUGUGAAUGAACAUAUGCUUGUUUGCUUAUUAUCUGCGAAUCCUCAAUUAUUUUCGUUCACACUUCAAAGAAACUUCUUGUGUUUUCCUUCCGACUUAGCUUGCAAUACGGAUGUUGAUGCAUCUGUGUGUUGGCGGAUUUGUAAAGAUAAUAAGUUUGUGUGGGUUGGAGUCGCUUUGUUUGUACCAAGAUGAAAACUAUUAUAACUGGUGUAUACUUAACCCUAAAGCUUGAAGUUGUGGUACUCCUAUGUUCGGAUAAUUUGUACUGUGCUUGCAUCUUGCUAGUAUAUAUCGCUCUUGAUUACUUGCAUAUUACUGGAAAAUGUGCUGGAAAUUCAUGAAACUAAGUUAACUGUAAUUGAUUUUAGGGAGUGGCAUGUUUCUGUGUAUUUUCGUUUCAACUCUUUUUUGCUCAUUUACUUAAUUUAGAGAGCCCUUUGGCACCAGUUACAAUCCACUAAUGUGAUAUAAUUCUUUGACAAUUUCAAUAACUUAUUUUUGUCCGUAAUAGCGUGAUUAUGGGCAAGUUGUCACGCAUUAAUACUCCUUCCAUUAUUUGGACUCCUUCCAUGUUGUGGACCAUGUGUUGCAAACAAAUGAUUAAAUAUCAAAACAGAUGAAAAAAAAAAAAAGUUAAUAAUGUAAACGUGUUCAAGCAUGCAAAAAUAACAAUUGACCUGAUCCAAAAUGAUUAUAUGUACGGGCAAUUUCAAACGUCCCCCCUCCCCCCCGCCCGAAAGUUAUAAAAUUUUCUGGAUACCCUCCUCACAAUUGUCAAUAUUAUUUUUAUUGUUAUAAAGUGGUGAAUUAUAAUAAAAAUGCCCUUCAUCACAUUGAUAAAAAAAAAUCUCAGGCUAAUUUACUCUUGCUAUAUCUAAUUAUAGAAAAUUUGUUAUGACAAGCUCCAAUAACACAUGUUCAUAACAGGUAUUUAUAUCUAUUGAUAUAAUGAAUCGGGAGUUUUGCUGUGGGCUACGUGGCCGCUUUUGAGCGGGCCCCUCUCUCUGUUGUUUCUUCUCGGGCGCGCGAGGGGCGCGAGCGGGCGUCAGGGGCGGGUCGUGGGCAUGUGGGAGAGAGAGAGAGGGGGAGAGAGAGAGAGGCGGGGGGGCCUGCCAUGUGCGNGCAUUAAUACUCCUUCCAUUAUUUGGACUCCUUCCAUGUUGUGGACCAUGUGUUACAAACAAAUGAUUAAAUAUCAAAACAGAUGAAAAAAAAAAAAAGUUAAUAAUGUAAACGUGUUCAAGCAUGCAAAAAUAACAAUUGACCUGAUCCAAAACGAUUAUAUGUACGGGCAAUUUCAAACGUCCCCCCUCCCCCCGCCCGAAAGUUAUAAAAUUUUCUGGAUACCCUCCUCACAAUUGUCAAUAUUAUUUUUAUUGUUAUAAAGUGGUGAAUUAUAAUAAAAAUGCCCUUCAUCACAUUGAUAAAAAAAAAUCUCAGGCUAAUUUACUCUUGCUAUAUCUAAUUAUAGAAAAUUUGUUAUGACAAGCUCCAAUAACACAUGUUCAUAACAGGUAUUUAUAUCUAUUGAUAUUGAUAUAAUGAAUCGGGAGUUUUGCUGUGGGCUACGUGGCCGCUUUUGAGCGGGCCCCUCUCUCUGUCGUUUCUUCUCGGGCGGGCGUGGGCGCGUCAGGGGCGCGAGCGGGCGUCGGGGGCAGGUCGCGGGCACGUGGGAGAGAGAGAGAGAGGGGGAGAGAGAGAGGCCGGGGGCCUGCCAUGUGCGGGCGACCCACGCCCCCCUGGCGCGAUCGCGCGCGCGCGAGAGAGAGGGGGGCCCUGGGGGUGGGGAGAGGCUCUUAAAAGAACAAAAACCCAUCUGCUCAGUUUUUAUAAGUGAGACGAAUCCCGUCUGAAGCACGAGUUGAACGGCCUACAGAAUCAGAAAAAAGUAAACCCGAAGGGGCAGCACAAGGUCUUCUCCUCAGAAGAAGCUGAAUAAAGGGCGAUGGCUUCCGUUAGGAAGUUGAGUUGAACCUCUUUCUUCGCCUUCUCUUCUCUCUCUGGUGUAGCAACCGACCCCGAAACAGCCGAAAAAGCCACUGGAGCAGGUUAUAGAACUGAUACUAGCAACUGUUUCAGGUCUAUUUCCGUACGUAGGAGUAACUGCUUCCGUAGGAGAAGGCACACCAGCCAGCCCAGGAAGCCAAGGUUGAAAGAUAAAGAUCACAGACAUGUGGUGAACCAUACCGAGAUAAAGCAAGGCACUUCCCAAGCUUGAAGUGGGAAUGGAGAGGCACGAGACAGCCCUCAAAAAAGGCGAAAUCCACGAGAAGGCCUCUUUGAGUAAAGAUAAUCGUGGCACCCUCAACAUGGUCUAAAAAAGCGGAGAGAGGAACCCUACCAGAGCAGAGAGCAUCGGAGCAACGGAAAGAGGCGCAGCUCCAGGGAAACACAGGUGACGGAGCUGCGAACCAAACGGGAAGGGCGAAGGAGACGGCGAGGAAGAAGGAUCGCAGGUUAGUCGAGUGAAGGACCCAGACAGGGUUUCAUAUAGUCGAGCUAAUCAGUCCAGAAGUCAGAGCAGAGCAAGAGGAUAAUGGAAGAUUUUUUUAAGGGGUCUCUGAGUUUGCCGAUGCGCUUCCAGGUAAGAAGGGGAUAAUUGGCCGAAAUGGUUGCCCUUCGUAAAGCCAAGCCCAUGGAAAUCCUCAAGAAGUCGAUGCCCUCUGCAGAACACUCUGUUCCCUUGAUGCCAGUCACUGGAACUGAUGCACUUAGACCCGUCCCAGAUAGUGUAUUGAUCCCGUCCGGCAGCCCCUUCAUUAACCCCUUUUCCGGAAACAGACCGAAAUGAAUGGUUUUCUGGUUCCCCCUCAAGAUGUCUUUUUCGACAGCGUGAACAAAAGAAGCUCGUGCCUGGUCGGGAAGUUCCUGGGAUCAAGACCGGACCUUAGAUUCAUCAGAGAUAAAGCCCGCUGCCCUUUUAUUUUUGGCAAGGUCCCAUACAUUAUGCCUACGUGGCACCUCGGAUAGUCAUGGAUCCUUGAACCAUUAACGGGAUCAUAUUUUUUGUCUUGGUCAAGAAUCCAAUUGGUGACCAAUGCUGAGUCAUCGAUUGCUUCCACCUGGCAAAGUCCCAGCUCCUUGGCUCGUUGGAUACCGAGUGACAGAGCCUGGAUCUCGGCUGUGUUAUUCGUAUGAACACCAAUUUGAACAGAACCCUCUGCCACCAUUUGAUUGCUUAAUCACAUAGCCGCACCCGCCCGGGGUUUCCUCGGCUCGCACCGUCGUAAUGUAACUGUGCACAGUUAUUUCUAUCUGGGUUCUGUCAUUCUGGGUUGUCGACUCACUCUAUGCUGCAGGUUGAAUUGUUCCAGAACCGCUUCCACGGAAUUUUAGGGAUUUGGGUCUGCUGUAUCAAUGCACCAGGACGGACUCCCUCUAUGGAUUGGUUUGUCUUAAAAUAUCGCAUAGUUCCGAGACCACCAGAUUUGAGCUGUGAUCAUUUUUGGUUUUUAUUGCAGUAACCAAUUGAGUUUUGGUGUCCUACUCGUUUGAACCCAAUCUCUUUCAAUCCAUGCUAUUAGAUCCGAAAUUCCAUGGACGCAAUUGGACAUUCAAAAACACAAAUGCGUGUGUGUUUCCUCUGCCCGCUUGCACAUUGGGCACCUGAAAGGUCCAUUCCCAUACGUGUCAAUCUGUCGCCGGUGAGCACUUUCCGAUUUCUCCACUGCCAGUCAAAAGUCAAGGUCGACGUAGGCCUCUUCCAUCUAUCUCUGUCGAUUUAGAGUGGGAUUGCUCUGAAGGUAUAAUAUUCUAGGUAGAAGCAAUUUCGGGGAAAAUCCAGCAGCAGUUUAACCAAUUUCUCGCCCAGUGGAGGUAGUAGCAAAGUCAGUGGUUUCCUCCUUUUGUGAAGUCUUUUUACUAUUUUUAUGCGGGUCCCACAUAAUGCACUCUCGGCACAUGGGCUUUGUUUGUCUUGAGCUCUUUACCUACUAUAAGGUGGUUAAUUCAAUCUAUAGUAAUAGGGACGAUUCAAUCAUUCAAGUGACGGAAUGGCAAGUAUUCCGCCUUUUCAUCGUGCAGUUGGUUCAAGUUCUGAUUCUGAUUUUGUUUCCUUUCCCACGUGGAAGGAACAAAUUCCCUUUUUUCUUUUUGUUUUUUGAAAGAGAGGAAAAGAACAAGAGGGAUACUUUUUUUUUUACUUUACCUUGGCCAAUUGACUUGCUUGCUACAGGGUUUUUCCCAUAAUCCAGAUGAAGAUUGUGCACACUUUACCUUUGAGCAGUCGAUGUACCACUUGACCCUGUACCAGAGUUCCGAUCUCUUCCAUUCCAUUUUGUCUGUCUUGGUUUCGAUCGGUGAACUUUCAUUCGAGAUCAAAAAAAUAGAGGAGGCCUAUGUGAGUUGUAGUAGAAAGAAGCCUGGCAAGCAAGGGAAAUUGUUCGAACUACGGAACCUAAUCGAUAGCCUAUCCCGUGAAUGAAGACUGAGGCUGGAUUAGCAGCCUAUCCAAACUACUGAUUCCAUUCCCCGGCCNUAAAUAAUAUUGAAUAAUUUAUUCAAAAUAUUUUAUAAAUUGCGUAAAUUUUUCGCCGCGAAGCGCGGGCUUCACUAGUACUUAUGAAUUGGGAAUUGGGAACCCGUACAAGGGCUGCCCGGAUUUGGGGGGUCCUGUGGGUCUCACUUUUAUUAUUAUUAUUAUUUUUGUUUCUCUCUCUCACUCUCUCUCACACACUUUACACUUUUUUUAAAAAAUUUCUCGCUUUAUUUAUAUUUAUUUAUUUAUAAUUUAUAAUAUUAAUUAAUAUAAAUUUACUAAUUUAGAACCCAAAAAAGACCUUUCCUUAUUUUGUGGAUUGUGGGGUCCACAUUAAUUUUCUAAACAAUUAAUUGCACAUUGGGUCUCAAUCUUUUCACUCUUUUUUUAUUUUGGUCCAUAAUUUCUAAACUUUGCGUGUUUUUCGCUUUAGUUCCCAAACAAUUUUUUAAGAAUUAAUCUAUAUAAUAAUAUAACUACUGAUUUCUUCGCUAAUUUAAAAUUUAGGAAUCAAAUAUUUUAUUAGUUGUAUAUGUAGCGAUAAAAGUUAAUGAGAGCACAAUGGAGACGUUGCCUCCAAAAAUAUCAAAGAUGUACUUUCACUCCACGUAAUUAUUAUUAUUUUUAUUUUUUAUAAAUUCUACCUUAAUGAUAAUAGAAAAAUAUUAUUUAUCUUUCUUAAUAUUGUAAUGAGCUUUUAUUUUAUUUUAAACUGAUUUAUUUAUUUUACUUAUUAGGUUAAAAUAUUUUUAGAAAAAAAUAUACUUUAAUUUCAUUCUUUAAUUUAUUUUUUAGUUUUUAAUUAUUCAAUAUGGAGAUAAAUAAUAUUUAAAAAUAAUAAUGCAUAAUGGAAAAAAAUAAUGUUAAUAAUUCUAUUAAUUUACUGUUAUAUUGGCUUUCCGUCGCAUCGCGCGGGUGUUUAUUAAUUGCGAAGGAUUUUUUUUCAGAUUCGUUCUUUUAGUCACUGGUGUUCUCUGGAUUCCCAGCUCUAUGAAGCACCUCGCCGAUUUUGAAGUUUAUCAACAAAAGUCUAACGAACAUUUUGAAAGUAGACUUUUAAAACAUGAUUUUAUUUUAUUUUCUUUUAUUUUUUGCCAUGAGACUCUGUAACUUCUAAAUUUUUUAUUUAAAACUUUAUACUCAGUUAACUUAAAAAAUUUAUUAAACUUAAAUUACUCUAUUAGUGAUUGUAUUCUAAUAGACCAAAUUAUAUUUACUAAAAAUAUAUUUACUCAAUUUGAUCAGAUUGUUAAUGAAUCCGAUACAAACUUUAAAUUUUUAUUUUCAUUUUAGAUUCAAAGAUUAAAUUUAAAUUAAAAAUUAAAUUUUAAGUUAACAUUUGAAUUUUUAAACUUUAAAUUUUAAGAUUUAAAUUUUAGAUAUGAAAAUUUAAAUUUACAAAAAUUGAUUUUAGGUUACAAAUUUUAAAUUUAAAUUUCAAAUUUUAAAUCAAAAAUUUAUAAUUUAAGAUAAGAUUUAAAAUUUUAAAUUAAGAAUUUAAAAUUUAAAUCUAAAAUUUUAAAAAGUUUAAAUUUAUAAUUAUAAGUCUGAAUUUACAAUUAGAAAUUAUAAAUUUUAAAAUUUUAAAAUUUUAAAUGUUAAAUUAUUUAUUUUAAAUUUUAAAAUUUUAAAAUCCUAAAUUUUAAAUUAUAAUUUAAUAUUUAUUUAAAAUUUGUGGUGCCAUAUUAUAUUUAAUAUAUAUUAUAUUUUUCUAUAUUUUAAACAAAUAUAUAAAUUGUUCCUGCUGUGAAGUGCGUACAUCGCUAGCAAUACGCAGCCAAUAAUUUCUCCUCUAAAAUAUUUGGGGAUUUGGGGAUACGUCAAAUGAGAAAUUAAAAAGGUGGGGACCACUCUAUACUACUCAUUUCCAUUCCGAUUCCAUGAUGAAAAAGAAGCGAACCAAACACGCCCUAUGAUGCUACACGCCCGUAAGCUUUGAGCCGUGUAGCCGAUUUUGAAUUAGCUGGGAUUUUGUUACAAUUGUUGCAACUUCUAUAUAUCUCGACCACAGUUGAUUUAUUUGCUAACCCUAGCAGUGCAGCGGCUCCUUCUACUCCCUCUCAUCCCUCUCUCUUUGUCUAGAGUAUUUCUUUGAAUCCCAGCUAAUUUCUAUAGCAAAGUUGACAUCUAAUAAACUUUCACUCUAGCUUGUUCCGAUUUAUCUUCUAUCCCACCACAACGAGACUAGUUAGUGCGGAAAGUGCUUUUGCAAAACCCUAGCAGCCAGUGUUGAAAAUCCCAGCAGCAGUCUCGUCUCCCUUGCUCUCUUGUGAGUUCGUCUGAGUUGUCUUCGGGAGCAUUUUGAAGUUUGCUUCUUUAAAUUAAUUGGUAAACACUAUAAUUUUUAUGUGGUGCUUUGGAAUUUUUUUUUUCUUUUUUUAAUAAUUUCAUUUUUGUGGGUCUCGUUUUAUUUAGUUUGAUACUUGUUUGAACAACUCGUGGUAUGUAUUUCUUUUUUUUUCUUCUUUUUGGGUUGGGAAUACUUUACUUAAAAGUUCUUAUUGUUUCUCUAAACAUUGUUUUGUAGGCACCAUGCAGAGUGAUAGCCGCUCGUCCGAAGAAAAGAUGAGGGAUUUCAGCCCAUGGAGGCACGAAAUUAGUUUAGGUGUGUUUUUUGAACUAUUUUUAAACUUCAUUUUCUUAUUUAGAUUGAAUUAAAUUUAUUAUUAUUUAUUUAUUUUUAUUUGUGUACAGGGCCUUCCUCUUUUAUGAUUAUGGAAAAUACUUUUAAAAAUACAUUCCGGAUAUAUGACUCUAAUGCGGAUUUAGAUAUAUAUUCGAAAAGAGCUGCUCUGAAAUUAUCAGAAACGGUAGCUAGUCUUGUAUCGUUUGUAGGUAAAUUUUCUUUCAUCCAUGUCCGAGCAUUCGAAAGAAGGCUGGUACCAUUUCACCUUUUAACACCUUUUUUUAAAAAUUAUUUAAUAUUUUUUGAAAAAUUUCUUUUGUAGGUGAAGAAAUACUUUUCUGUGCUUUUGGGACAACGAUUGAAUGCAACCGCACUGAUGAUGGCAUUUUCGAAGCAUUUUUAUUAACUACAGCUAGUUUAUUAAGACGGUCCAAUUUUGAGUUUUCACCAACAGAUAAUAUAAAGGUUGAUAAUAUGCGAUUUUAGUUUUAUCUUUAUCUUUCUAUUUUUUUCUUUAUUAGAUGUGCAUGUGUAGUAUUAUGUAUACGUAUGUAAAUAUUUAUUUGUACUUAUAUGUUAGGAAAAAAAGGUCUUUAUUUAUUUUUUCUUUUUCAGAUCCUUGUACAUUUUUGGGAUGGAAAAUCCUAUGAAGGAGACGUUAUUGGAUGCGACUUUUACUACAAUAUUGCCACAGUUCGCAUUCGUUCGGAAGUUCCUCUACAAACUGCAAUACUAAGAGAUGUGGAUGAUUCCAUGCCGAUUAGCCCCGAAGUUGCUCGUGAUUUAAGAGAAACCACCAAACCCACUCUUGGCCGACAUUCCAACAAAUUUAUUCUUGUUCCUGGGGACAAGGUUGUAGCAGUUGGCCGCUAUCAUACGGAGGGGUAUGAUCUUAUGGUCGCUCCCGGCAUAUUUAGGUAAGACUUAACACUACAUUUAAUUACAAGUUGAAAAUUUGUUUAUUUUAUUUUAAAAUUCAGGAUGGAAUAAUUAUAUUUAUGCAUUUAAAAAAUACCUUUAGAGCUAAGCUUAUUGUAAUGUUCAAAUUGUGCUAAUCUAUGAAGUACGGAUACUUCAAAUUUCAUGCCGUAUUCGUAUCGGAUACGUAUCGGAUACCGAUAUGCGUCCGAUACGUGUCCGAUACAGAAAUGAAGUAUCCAGCAUUUUUAAAAAAUAAAAAAAUAUCGGAUAUGACUCGAAUACAUGAGGGAUACGGAGGGAACACGGUCAUAUUCUUUCUUGGUCUAAAAUGAUCGAAACUUAAAAUUUUUUUAAAAGCUCAUAUCCAAACAUAUUCAAAAGAAGAAAAAUAGUGAGAAAAACGUCAAUCUCUGUUCAAUUUGUCAUUUCAUCUAUCUUUUUGCUCUUGAAUGGUAGAAGACACUUCCUCUCGUUCUAUCUUCACACAGUAUUUACUCUCUUUCAUCUAAUUUGUCAUUCUAGCAUUAAGCAACAAAGGCUAUAAAAAAUAUGAUUUUUUUUUCUUCUCUAUUAAAUCGUUAGCAUUUUUUUUUUUUGUUACUAUUUUAAUAAUAGAACUAACAAAACAGACAUAUAUAUUGAAUGGCUAAUUAUCUAGUUUGUGCGACUACAUAUCUAUUGUUAUCAUUUGAUCAAGUUAGAUGAUAGUUGGUUUGAUACUUUUUGAAUUAUUAUUUUAUAUGAUUNNNNNNNNNNNNNNNNNNNNNNNNNNNNNNNNNNNNNNNNNNNNNNNNNNNNNNNNNNNNNNNNNNNNNNNNNNNNNNNNNNNNNNNNNNNNNNNNNNNNUCCACGGAGUAGAGUUGCUCAUUGGUGUGUACGAUCUCACCGUCAUUCCUUGUAAUAUCAGAACAUAAUAGCACGCCAUUAUCUCGAUUCGAUUCCUUUUGGUGAUACUCACAAAACCGUGUAUCCUGUUAACUGAGAACCAAGUGGCUUUUGAACUGACAGGAUUUAAAUUUCGGAAAAACAACGGAGUCUGAAAGAAAAUCACAAAAACAAAUAAUUUAUAUGUAUUUAUUCCGUGCGACCUCUCAAUUUAGUCGUUCGGAUGAAAGUGGAUUUUGUCGUGAAUCCGGGUCAUCGAGUACGCUAAACGAAAUCGUAAGCUUUGUUAGUCGUCAUCGUGCUGAAUGCAUGGUGUGAUCCGUUCGCAAAUUCUUGGACGAGCGGAUCUGCGGAGAUAGCGCGUUGAUCAGUGAGAGGUCGAUCAUAGGCAAAACGUAUUUUUCGGGCAAAAAGUCGCCGACAUUUUAGUACCGUUUUCUCGUUUGAGAUCGCACGGAAGGGGCGUUCCUUAGCGUUUUAGUCGUAACCGUGAUGGACUGCCGUAAUUGAUUUCAGAUGUUUGAAGGGUUUUCUUGGCAAAGUUGCACGUAGUAUGAUAGUUGUUAUCUAGUAGGUUUGAGUCACCUAAACCUAACCCUAAGCUUUGCCAUAACCUCCCUAAGCCGCCUCACCACCCCACUUUCCCCGCCCUGCUCUCUCCCGCCGCCGGCUGCCCAGUUCCACUGGCUGAGCAGCCGCCGCGGGCCGCCGGAGCUGGCGUGCUCCAUCCUUAGCCACUUCUAUCUCCUCCUCUCUUUCUCUCAUCAUAUCUCCUCUUAGGUUGGGAGGAGGGCCCUUGAGACUGGCCGCACCAUAUUCGACCUCCUCCGGUGUCACCCCGUGCUCCGGGAUACAAUCCUCCCGCCUGGCCGCCACGUCGCCAAUUGCAGCGUCGCUCUCUAUGCCGAGCCCGGCCGAGCGGCCGGUUUUCCACUGCCGCCUAGCGCGCACGCCACCUGGACCGUGAAUCCCUCCCUCCGACCUCCUCUCGUCCCGGCAACCCCUUCCGACCGGUCGCCGCCGGCGCCGUCGCCGCCCAUGCCAUCUGCCCGGCUCGGCCAGCCGCGCCCGCAGCUAGCCCGAGCCAGGCCCGAGGCAUUUGGUUGCGGUCUUUCCCGCGCCCGGCGCCGAGCACCUCCUUCCUCCUCGUCUGUGCCUCUGUGACUGCGUCGUCAUCCCUGACCCUACCCCGGCGCCGCCGCCGUGGCCAGCAGCUUCCCUGAAUGCCGUGUCCUAACUCGUGGCGGGCCGAGCUGCUGCCCCGACGCCGCCCGGCCGCUUCUUCUCGUCGCCAAUCGAGUGAGCACGAGUCCUCACCUUCCUCGCACCCGACUCAUGGCCCCACUGCGCGCCGCGCCGGGCCCUCAGCCGGAGACCGCGCGCGAGCAAGGUUCUCCGGCCAUCCCGAAAUAAGGCUUAUUUGAGUGGUUUCUUGUUCUGGGCUUCGCGCGAUUCCCCGAUCUCUAACGGAAGGGAGCACGAUGAUCUCUGGCAAGUGCUGAUCACUCGUAGCCGACGUUGGCCUUUUGUCGGGAAAGGUCCCGUUUCCGCGCUUUUUGACGACGUCGCAGCCUUUCUCAGCCUUUUUGCUGCUGUUUUCGGGUUUGUGCUCUGUUUUCCGGCAUCUCGAGGCUGUUACGAUGCCUUCGUAGGUGAGCAGGGUGACGCCGCUGUCAGGUGCUGAUCACGAAGUUCCACCAUCCCUUGGAUCAGAAAAGUGUCCGGUUAGUCCCUGUUCGGCGCGAUCUUCCUUGACUUGCGCGCUGUGCGCUGACCUUCGGGUUUGCUUCCCGGCGUGGCUGCCCACCAGCGAGCCGAUUGGCUCCGGACUCGUCGAGCACAGACUCCCGGUACUAUUUCGAGACCACUGAGUCAGUCACGUGCUCUUAGAACUUUGGAAAGUCCUCGUUUGGCGUGAAACGAUGCGCUUGAUCGCGUCAAAUUACUAAAUGAUAGAAGUUAUGUAAAUUGGAAGGGCACUUUAAUCGCAAUUGUGCAUCGUUAGUGGCCUACUGUGGGAUAGUGGCCCGUGAGUGUGUUUGACCUCUGGACUGAUUGUCCACGAUCCGUAGCGCCAGCGGAAAUGCGAUACGGUUGAUUUGCGGUGCGUUUUUCGGCGAAUUCGCCGAAAGAAGCGAUUUCGGUUCGAUUCUUUCCGCACCGCGCGUGUUUGGUUGGCUCGUAUAUUUGUCGCUGAGCUUUGUUGUGCUGUCACUCGCUAUCAAUUUUUUGAGGGUUCGAAAUGCGGGUGAGCGAGCGUUAGGUCCGUGCUCGAAUUAGACACUUCGCGGAACCCGUAAUCGAAACGAUUAUCCGACGAUAAUUGUUUCGUACACGAGGAGGUUGUGUUUGCUGCAUGAUGUCACGAUUAAAUUUAUGUUUAGUUGGCAGUCAGGUGACUCGUACCGAGUCGUUAUGGCUUCCGGGACAGUUCGUGGGUCCCGCGGAGUCCCCGUCGCGAUUACGGGACUUCCGCGUAUUACGGCGAUCGUUUGGGAAUUGGUCGGUCCCCAUGGGUUUGCUUGUAGGUUGUGGAUUUAGUGGUUAUUAGCUGUGGGUUAGACACUAACCCGAUGGACCUUCCUUAGGUCCGGUUGACGUUCUUUUGCAGUUAGGAGACAGGCGCAGCAUUUGUACAGGUGGGUACUUCGAUCCGACGUCGGUACAGUGGUGCACGCUUGGUGAUGGUUUCUUACCCUUACUCUUCUGUUGUUACUAUCGCAUAAUAUAUUGAGCCUUGCACCCUUGUUUAUUCGUUAUACUCUACUCGUUGUUUGCAUACUUAAUAUCCUGAGUAGGAGUAGAGUAGUUCUAUCUUCAUGCGUAUCUGUUGACCUAGUUGGUCGGUUGUUGCAUUCAGUACCUAUUGACAUAGUUGGUCUGUUGUUGCGUUUAGUAUCUGUUGACCUAGUUGGUCGGUUAUUGCAUUCCGUAUCUGUUGACCUGGUUGGUUGGUUCUCGUACUUCGUUUCGGUGACCUGAUUGGUCAGUUCUCGCUUUCCGUUAAAUGACCCUUGAGGUCGAUAUACCCUAAAGGGUGGGAUUGUCGGCUAACGCCGACGGAUGAUUAUAGUCUACUCAGUUCCAUUGUUUGGUAUGUUUGUGACCUAGUCGGUCAGCUUCGUGAGUUCCGUCGUUGAUGACCUUUGAGGUCGGUGUAUCCUGAGGGGUAGGAUUGUCAGCUGGUGCUGACGGUAGUUCUGGACUAUAUCGAUACACUCUUGUGACCUAUCGAUCGGUUCUUGCGUUCGUACAUUUAGUUGACAUCAAGCAGUAUUUACAUACUAUCUUUAUUUACUCUGCCUGGUUGUUCCAUGUGUAGUAUCCUGUGUAGGGGUAGAGUAGGUGACAUUCGUAUAUACUAUACUAGUGACCUGGUUGGUCGGUUCUCCUGUUUGCAUCUGUGACCUGUUUGGUCGUUCGUUACUUCCCGUACAUUGACCUAUCUCGGUCGGUUCACGUUGUUACUUGAUGACCUAUCUGGUCGGUAUGCCCAGAGGGGCAGUGAUUGUCGGCUGGUCGCCGACGGUUGGCUAUUGAGCAUAUCAGCAUCGAUCGCCACCACUCGUUAGCAUUUCACGAACACUGGCGGUCUGAUCCACCGCAGGGAGUGUUCUUUUCCGGAAAAGUGGUCGUACGUCCGACCCGUGAGCCCAAAGGCUAGAUUGGGUUAUAUGCAGGUUGAGUGGAUAUGGCACGAGCCUGAGGUCUCCGGACCAACAUGGCAGGUUUAGAUUGGGUAUUUUGAUAUAUGCGACCGGUUGAUGCAUACUUACAGUCUUGCUUUACAGUUGUCUUGCUACUACAGUUUCCGCAUAUUGUUAUGUUUUCGGUUCUUCGUUAUAGUAGCAGUUGUUUACAGGUAUACCUAUAGUUCUUUCUUACACUUGUCUUGCUACUAUAGUCUGAUAUCUCUGUAUGUACGCUUGUUGUUCUGUUUACAGUAGCGGUAGUUGUUCUUUCAUCUAUAUUUCUUUCGUUAUGAUCGUUACUACUGUAUUUCACUUACCCUUAUACUAUUGUUUAUCUUCCCGAUCCGGUGAGUAUUCCUCGCCUUCUUCGGCUUGCGGUACCCACUAGGAGGGGAGACAUGUUUACAUGUUCUCACCUCCCCCACUAUUUUUCAGGUAUCGCGGGCGGUGAGGGUUGAGACGUGACGUGAGACACGUACGUAGCGGUCGAUAGAUCUUCUGACCCAGGUUAUUCGGUGUAGUUCCUACCUUUACUAUUCUGUUGAUAUAGCUCAGAUAGUUUAUAUGGUUCAGUAUUGUCAUUACUUUUGAAUAUGUGGAUUUUCAUGAAUGUAAUAAAAGGAUUUCUGGAUUUGGUAAAAUAAAAAGGUUUUCUACCCCUCGUGGUAGUAUUAUUUAAAAGAUAAAAGUUUCCGCGUAGGGAACAAUUUUUUUAAAAGGUUUUACGUGGAUUUUUGUUUAAACAUUGAAUGUAAAACAGUGAUAUGAAUGGUGAAUGUAUGAAUGUAUAGCUGUCUUUAUAUUCAUCUAGUUGUUGUGGUUGUAUCCUGUUUGUACCUUGUACUUGUGCGACGCCGUGCAAAUACAGGGGAGACUCUGUCCGUGUAAACAGUGGAUUCCCUGUAUUUGUGGCGGAUCUGGCAUACUCUGGGGUCAGGUUUUCAAAAA